GAUUUUAGCUUUCAACUAGUUCCUUUCCUUCCUCUAAAUAUAUUAUUGAAAUGGUGAUAGUUGACAGCAAAGAAAUUUGUUUUUUAAAUCUUCUUGUCCCCAGAGAACAGGUUUUUAUAACCUGCUCUUACGUUUGCAAGAAGAAUGAUGGAGAUGACGAUGAUGAUGACGAUGGCGCAGACGUAGCGCCUGCUGCAUAAUAUAUAUAUAUAUAUUUAGAGAGAGAUGACUGCUGUAGUGAAAUCAACAUCAUAGUGAUCUUGUUUUUCUAUAUAUAUAUAUAUAUAUGGUGCUGCAUGAAUCCUGAAGGGAAAUCAACAUCGUACUGAUCGAUGUUGUUUUUCCAUACAUGCAUGGUGUUGCAUGAAUAUUGGAGUUAAGCAGGUCAAUGUAAGAGCUGUUGUCUCUUGGUCAAAUAUUAAUCAUACUUAUUUACUAUAGUAUUUUGUUUUGAAGAUGGACUUCAAUAUCAGUAGGGUAAGACUACUGCUAGACUCGCUAAUUUAUUUAUUACAUCAUUGAUUUCUCCAGAUAAAUAUUAUUGAUGAUUGAUUUAUUACUAUAAUGAAUAGUUUUAUUAUAAAACAUGUUAGACGUUCAUUAGAAAAAAUGUUUCUUCUUUUUUAUUUUAAUUCAUCAAAUAUUUUGUACACUAAUUCUCUAUUUAAAAUUAAGAAUUUUAUAAGAAUUAAUUUAAUUUAAUUGAUUUCUCUUCUCUUAUUUGAAAUUAAAAAAUUUAAUUUUUUUUUUAAUUUAAAGUUUUUUUAUUUUAAAUUUAGAUGUUCAACCAGUUAAUUCUAAUUAAUAUAAAGAUAUGAAUAUAUAUUUAGUCAAAACUUUUUAUUUUCAAAUAAAUUAAAAUUUUAUAUAAUGAUUUUGUAAGAAUGUACGUUAUGAUUUUGUAAAAAUUAAAAUAAAUUAAAUUAAUUAGCUUAUGAAGUUGUUAUAUUAAUUUUUCAGGAGCAAAGUUCUGAUGUUGUUAUUGCUAUAUCUCUUUAUGAAUAUAUAUUUAUAUAAUUAUUUAAUAAUUUAAUUAAUUACACUUUUAAUCCGGUAUUAAGUGCAUUUAAAUGAAUAUGAGAGAUUUUAGGUUUUAUUUUUAAUCUCUAAUUAAUUUUCAGUUAAAAAAAAUAAUUUAAUUAAUUAAAAUAAUUUAUUUUUUUUAUAUAAAAAAGCAAAGAAAUUGAUGCAAAUUAUAACGAUGUAUAUCUUUUUUGCCCAUGAAUUUUUUUUUACUCGUAUUUUGUAUCUUUUUACAUUUGCAAUUGUAUUGUAAUUAUAUUGCAAUAAUAAUAAUAAUAAUAAUGUUUAAUUUUUUUAAUAUAUUAAGAGUGCAUAAUUGAUAUUUCAAAAUGAUAAAAAUAUCAUCAUAAUCAACUUCAAAUUAUUAUGUAUCUUUAAUCCAUAUUUCAUAUAAUUAUAUAUUUUUUUAAAUUAUUUUUAUUAUUAACACUUUCUUUUAUUUUAUAAUUUAAUGAAAAUUUCAUUAAAAUAAUUGAGAUAAAAAAAUUUAGUAUACAUAAAUAGUAAUAAAAAUAAAAUAUGGAGUAAUAAAAUUGGUAAGUUCAUGGAAUCUGACCCUAAGAAAUUUCAUUGAAACGGAAGAAGGGAUCCAAUCCUCUCGCAGUUAAUGUUAACGCAAAUUAUGGUAAUGUGGUCGUGGGUGACGUGGAAGGAGAUUCUCAAGAAGACCUAGCUACUGGGGAUACUAAACGAAAACGUGUGGGCCUGGAUCAACUCCAAGAAAAAGCCCAGGGUUUUGUCUCUAAUCAAGGCAUGUCCUAUGAUCCGAAAAAAACUUCAUCGGCCGGUUCGACCAGUUUGACCCGAAUCCACCGCCAGAAAUGAGCACCCUUAACUGGAAUUGCAGUCGGUUGGGCAACACACUCAAAUUUAUUGUUUUAGAAAAGAAGUCUGUUUUUAUUUUUCUUAUUUAAAUCAUUUGUAUUUCAAAUAAAGUUAAUCGAAUAAAGAAUAGGUUGAGUUAUGAUGAUUAUAUUUUAUAGAUUGUAUUGGGUAUAGUUGGGUCUGAUAUUACUAUUUCAACAGUGUAUUGAUGUGAUUAUUUCGAUCGAUAAUAUUGGUAUAUGAUAUAUGAUUGAAUUUAUAAAAAACGAACAGAUAUAGACAAAGUGAGUUUUGAAUUCUCCUUCAAAAUUUAGUUGAUAACAGUGGAGUAGAAAUGAUCGACAGUCUCAAAAUUUUAUUGAUAAUUUGUGAUGUUUUUAAUGUUGGUAAGAAGUUUGAUUUGAUCUAAAGGAAGAAACUCAAUUCAUGAAAGUAUUGCACCUUAUCAAAAAGGGGAAAGAGGUAUUGCUUAAGACUAUUUUGCAAGCUUUGCCUAUAUAUGUGAUGGAAUUUGUUUCUUCCUAAGACAUUUUGCCAGGAAUUACAACGUCUAAUGUGUAAUUACUGGUGGGGCAAGUGAAGCAAUCAUGAGAAGGGUGGUAUCAAUUGGAUAAGUUGGGAGAGAAUGAGCAAGCCAAGGUAUUUUGGAGGUCUUGGGUUCAAGAAGCUUCAUGCGUUUAAUGUGGCUAUGAUGGUAAAAUGGCGUGGAAAAUAAUGACAACACCAGAAUCAUUGGUGGCUCCUCUAUUGAAAGCCAAAUAUUUUCCUCGUACUUCUUUCCUCAAGUUACGUGUGGCGGAGUAUUUCGCAGUAUCAAAAGCUUGAUUAAAAGUGGCGCUUGCAAAAGAGUGGGUUCGGGUUCUUCGAUCUCUAUUUGGAUCCCUUCUUCCGUUUCAAUGAAAGUUAGGACUCCUAAGCAAAAUACUUUGGAGAGUUCUCCAUAUUAUAAAAUAAUUACUUUUAAAUAUAACAGUAAUCAUGUUUUUUAAAAAUUAUUUUUAAAUAUAAAUUUAAAUCUAUAAAAUUAUUUUUUAAAAUUUAAAUAUUUAUUAAAUUACGAUUAAGGUGUAGAUAUUUAAUAGAUAAAAAUAUUUAAAUUAGAUAUUUAAAUAUGUAUUUAAUAAAAAAUAUAAAAAUUUCAUAUGAUUUAUUUUAAAAAGUUUUAAAUUAUAUCUUAUAAAAUCAUAUUAAUUUUAUUUUUUUAAAAAAAUUAAAUUAAAAAAUUAAUUUUAUACGUUUUAAAUAAUAAAAUUAAUAAAAAAUAAUUAAAUCGAAUUCAAUUUUUAUGAAUUUUUUUAUUUUAAAUGAGGACUAACACUUCUUCAAGUAAUGUUUUGAGAUUAUAUAAAAAAUUAUUUAAAAUCAAAACGUUUUUUUCAUUGUAUUAAAAUUAAUAUAAUUUGUAUAUCAAUAAUUUAAUUAUUGUAUUUUAAUUUUAUCAAAUUAAAAUUUUAAUGCAAUUUCUUCUUUUAAUUAUUUAAAAAAUAUUAAAAUAUCUUAAAAGUAAAACUUUUUUCUUUGAACCCGAAUAACACGUUUCUUAAUUUUUUUUUUUAAAUAUUAGUUUUAUUGGAUUGAAAAUAUAUAUUAUUUGACUAUAUCAAUCUAAUAAAAUUAAAAUAUAUAAACUAAAUUAUCAUUAUUAAAUUUUAAAAGUUAAUAUAUAUAGUUCAAAAAAGUUUAUAUAAAUUAAUUUUAGUAUAACUCAUUGAUUUUUUUAAAAAAAAUCUAAAAUAAUAAUUUAUCAAUAUAAACGUGUGGUUAAAUAUAUCUACUAUUUAAGUUUUUAAUAAGCAAAUUUUUUCCACAUGAAUUAAUUUAAGCAGUAUUAUUAAUUUUCAAAAGUUUUCAUGGCAAUUGGUGUGCCGAGCAUGAUAAUUUAGUUUAUAUAUUUGUUAAUAUUAGCAACUUUUUAUGAAUAUUGUAAAUAAAUCAAAUCCAUUCUGAAAUACUUGAAAUUUAUUUUGAUAAAAAUUUAAUUGAAUUUUUAAAUAAUUUAAGUUUGAAUUUAAUUUUUAUACUCGUUUGGUAAAAGAAUUAAAUUUAAAUUUUAUAAUAUUCGACUCGUUAAUACUCAUAAGUUUGACUCAUUUCUGAAUCUAUGAGUAAGGUCGCGAAUAAAUUUAUAAGUAUUUUUAUUAAACAGAUAGAAAUUAAUAUUAUAAGAGAAAUAAAUUCAAACGAUACAUAUAUUUUAAUGGGAUAAAUAUAAAUUUUUUAAAAUUUAACUCUAUAUAAUUUAAUUACACUCUCAAAACUUAUAUAUUUAAAUUGUUAAAAGUUUAUAAACUAAUUUAUAUAUAUACUUAUUUAACUAAAAUUAUUUAAUUUUAAAUAUAUUGAUUUUAAAAUAACACUUAUUAUACAUAUAAAUAAAUUAAAUUAUUAAUAAUUAUUUAAAAUUAAACUUGAUUAAAGUUCAAAUUUAGACCAAUAAUUAUAUAAAAUCAAAUUUAAUAAAAACUCGAUUUAUCUAAAUUUAUUUAUUAAAAGAAUUAAAUUUAAAUUUAUGAAUACUUGACUCAAAUUUAAAAUAAAUAAAAUUCGAGUUAAAUUCGACUUUAAAAAAAUUUUAACCAUUCAAACUUAAACUCUCAAAAUUUCAAUUCAAUUUGGUUUAUUUACCCCAAUUCAUAAAAAAUUAUUUUAUUUUAUCAUUUUUAAUUUUAUCCUAUUUAGCAAUUCCACUUUUAAAUGAAUUACAAUUUAUAAUUCCAUAAGUAAUAUGUGAUAUUUUCGCGUUAUCGCAUUAUAAAAAUUAAAGUGUUUUACUUUAUAAAAACUAAAUUAUUUUAAAUUUAAAAUGUAAAUAAAAUAAAAUAAAAUUAAUAAGAUAAAUAAUCGAUAAAAAGUCAAAUUAUGUAUUUGAUUUUUUUUAUUAAAUUAUUUAAUAUUUAAAAUUUAUUAAUUUAAUUAAUUUUUAUCGAAUAUAUUUAAUUAAACUUAAAAUCUCUAAUGAAAAAAAAAAAGAUGCACCAUUCCAUUACAGACCUGGAGAGUAAAUUAUGCACUUGCUCUGUAGUAGGCAUUAGACAAAUAACUUUUCCACGUUGAAAGUAAUUUGAUCCACAAUAAUUCUCCACGUGUUUGGCAUGUGGUGUAUAGGGGAAAAAUUGCCCUACAAGUACCGACCAAGGAGAAAAUGGGAGUAUGGCAAACCUCUCAAUAGAUAUGUAUGAUUCUUAUUUAAAUUGAAUUUAUAUAAAUAAUAAAGUAAAUAUAUAAAUUUUAUAUAAGUUUUAUUAUUAUUUUAUAUUUUAAUUAUAUAUAUUUUUUAGAAGAAAAGCCAAUUUCAAAACUGAUAAUAUCAGAUUUGAAUUUAUAAUUAAUUAGAAUUUUCAUUAAAAUUUAUACCAUAUAGUAUUUAGCUUCUUUACAUUAUAUUAAAAUAAUGAUUUUUUAAAAAGAUUUUACCUCAUGAAAUACUUGUAAAAUUUACAAUUGAAAAAAUAAUUUUGAUUUGAGUAUCUCCAUAUCAUGUAUUCAAUGUGAAUUGAUUUUUAGGCAAAAUUGAUGCCGAAUAAAUUGAAAUAAUAUCAAUUGUCCGUAGUUUCAAUAGAUUUUAGUUUGACUCCAAUCUAAUUUGAUUUUUAUUUUUUAUGAUUUUAUUUGAAAAUAUCACAUAUUUGUUUAAAAAAUAAUUUAAAUGAAGGAUGUGUUUGUUUGAUUAAAAAUAUUUUUUAUAUUUUUGACAUUUAAAAUACUUAUAAAAAUUAAUUAAUAAAAAAUCAUUGCAAAGAAAAUAAUAUUCUCAUUUAAAAAAAUUAUAUUUUAUAUUUUAAAAAUUUUAUUAAUAUAUAUAUAUAUAAAUUUGUUCAUCAUUUUAUUUUUAAAUUAAAAUUAAAUAAUAAAAAAUCAAUUAUUUUAUUAAAAAAUAUUUUUAAUAUUUUUUUAUAAAACUAUUUUUUAAAUAUAAAUUAUUAAAUAGAGUUUAAGUUGCAAGCGAUAUUUAUAUUUAGGGUAAAGUGUAAUUUAGUCCCUCUGGUUUAGUGAAAUGUAACCUUUCGUCCCUCUUUUUUAAAAAACCUUUAAUUUAGUCACUGUAAUUUUUAAAAACUAUGCAAUUAGUCCCUCCCGUUAGAUUUUCAGUUAAAUCACCGUUAAUUUUAGUUAAAAAGACUAAAAUACCCAUCCUCUCUCCUUGCUCUUCCUCUUCUUCUUCUUCUCUUCUCCUUCCCGAUCUCCUUUCUUCUUCUUCUUUUUCUUUUUCUUCUCUUUUCCGAUCUCCUUCUUCUUCUUCUUUUUCGAUCGAAAAUCUUGAUUUUCCAUCUUCAAUCAUCACACCUCUGUCUAUAUUAACCUUGAGGAGCUCACACAUAUUGCUCUGUUUCGAUUUGCACUGUGCACAUUCCUUGCAUUCGCCUGUGAAUAUAGGCAGGACGUGAUCGUCUGGUUCAAGUUCUGUCACACCCUCACCAACACUCUCCACAAUCCUUAAAACCCCCCAGAAAAAAAAAGAUAAAAAUGUGAACAUGUGCUCGGAUCAGACACAUGAAAUACUCAUGGCAGAGGUUUACAUACCCUCCAGCCUCAUGACCAAAAAUUCUAGGAAACAAAGUGCUCUAUCCCUGCCAGCGUAGAUAAAACAAGAAUCAUUGUGUGAGAGAUCAAGAAUGGAUAAUUUGUUCAGAGCAGAAAUCUGGGGUGGAAUCGUCCCAGUGAGUGCAUUACAACUCAAAUUCAAAGCAAUAUCAAGACCUUCAAUAUCAAAAAGUUCCACUGGGAUCAUGCCAGAUAGUGCAUUGCUACUNNNNNNNNNNNNNNNNNNNNNNNNNNNNNNNNNNNNNNNNNNNNNNNNNNNNNNNNNNNNNNNNNNNNNNNNNNNNNNNNNNNNNNNNNNNNNNNNNNNNNNNNNNNNNNNNNNNNNNNNNNNNNNNNNNNNNNNNNNNNNNNNNNNNNNNNNNNNNNNNNNNNNNNNNNNNNNNNNNNNNNNNNNNNNNNNNNNNNNNNNNNNNNNNNNNNNNNNNNNNNNNNNNNNNNNNNNNNNNNNNNNNNNNNNNNNNNNNNNNNNNNNNNNNNNNNNNNNNNNNNNNNNNNNNNNNNNNNNNNNNNNNNNNNNNNNNNNNNNNNNNNNNNNNNNNNNNNNNNNNNNNNNNNNNNNNNNNNNNNNNNNNNNNNNNNNNNNNNNNNNNNNNNNNNNNNNNNNNNNNNNNNNNNNNNNNNNNNNNNNNNNNNNNNNNNNNNNNNNNNNNNNNNNNNNNNNNNNNNNNNNNNNNNNNNNNNNNNNNNNNNNNNNNNNNNNNNNNNNNNNNNNNNNNNNNNNNNNNNNNNNNNNNNNNNNNNNNNNNNNNNNNNNNNNNNNNNNNNNNNNNNNNNNNNNNNNNNNNNNNNNNNNNNNNNNNNNNNNNNNNNNNNNNNNNNNNNNNNNNNNNNNNNNNNNNNNNNNNNNNNNNNNNNNNNNNNNNNNNNNNNNNNNNNNNNNNNNNNNNNNNNNNNNNNNNNNNNNNNNNNNNNNNNNNNNNNNNNNNNNNNNNNNNNNNNNNNNNNNNNNNNNNNNNNNNNNNNNNNNNNNNNNNNNNNNNNNNNNNNNNNNNNNNNNNGAGGAAGAGGAAGGAGAGAGAAUGGGUAUUUUAGUCUUUUUAAUUAAAAUUAACGGUGAUUUAACUGAAAAUCUAACGGGAGGGACUAAUGUUAUAGUUUUUAAAAAUCACAGGGACUAAAUUGAAGGUUUUUUAAAACAGAGGGACGAAAGGUUAUAUUUCACUAAACCAGAGGGACUAAAUUAUACUUUACCCUUAUAUUUAAUUAAGGAUUUAAGGGAGUAUCCAAACGGAUCCCCAUAAUAUUAAAUUUAUUUAAAAAAUAAAGUUAUAUUUCCUUUUCUAUUCAACUAAACAAAGGUAAAAGCCUUCUUUGCUUUCCCUUCUGUCUUUUUCUCAUCCAUUCUUUUUCAUUUCCUAUUUUCUUCUCCAACCAAACGCAGUCUUAGUGUCCAACUCCACAGUUCCCACCAUUAAAGUAAGCGCGUAUCCAAUUAGGAAAUAAAAAAUAACUUAAUCGGUAACACGCCUGACUUCUAAAUUGGCGAGUAAAGGAAGAUUAUACACGCGAGCGAGUACCGACAAUAGGAUGGGCUGGCCCAAACAACUCUAUAAAAACGCCCUACCUAAGGAAAAGCAGAUUUCAACAAUACACAGCUUGAAAAUCUGAUUCUCUAGAAAUUUCGAUUUCCCUUCUCCGAUUUACGUUUCCUUUGCUGAUCAGUUCUCCUGCUUCAAAGAUUUCACCUUUCUAUUCCUCUAGUUGUCCGGUUUUUUGGAAAUUGGAUCAGAUUCGAGGGGAAGAAAUUGGUAAAAGAAAGAAAUCUGCAUGAACUGGUUGGGAAAGCUGGGUUACUAUUUCCUGUCGUCGAAUUCGAACCAUUGCUUAACGCGAUUGUUGAUAUUUUUUCUUCAUUAUUCUCCUCAAUUUUCUCCAUCAUCCCAUUCUCAAUUGUGUAAUAUAAAUAUAGAUUUUUCAUCGUCGUCUUCAUCGUCAUCGUCAAUUAGCAGUAAUCCAAUUCCUAAUUCUAACUUUGAUCGUCCGUUAUUAUUGAAUCAUGGAGUCUGGAUUCAGGAGUAAUCGCCAGCAAUUGCGUAGAGGUUUGUCGAUUUCGUUUUAUUCUUUUCGAAAUUGAUUACUAUUAUUGGUUAAUUAAUUUUAUUUGUCGGUGGGUCAUUAUUGUUUUUGUUUACUCUUUUUAUAUAUGUAUUAGCUAGUGUGCUUGAGCUGUAUACAGGAUUAGCGAGCUUUUUAUCCUAAUGCGUGCUGAUGGAUCACUGUGAACAUGUUGGUAAACUUUUCAAAUGUUAGAGCUAAGUGGGAUUAUUUGCCUUAUUCUUUUUCCCCCUGGGUACUCUUUAUUUGUCUUAUUUUUUUUUUUCUAAAAGAAAAUUAUGUUAUUUGGUUUGAGUCAUGGAUGAAACUAAGAUAAAGAGAAUCUUAUAAGUGAAUGAUGUCGUGAUGCAUACUCAGCAAAGAGAAUAAGUUGACGGUUGAUAGUGCCAAUUUAUUAUGGAUAUGCGACUUUGCAAAUAUCGAUUAUAAAUGAAAUAAACUAUUGUUUAAAAUUUGAUUUAUUAGAUAGCAAUAGUUUGUCGUCUGAUGAUUGAAAUUUUAGUUGCGAAUUUAUGGUGCAGCUCUUUGUUAUUCGAAUGAUGGGAGGAGGCAAGCGGCCUCGCCAUCUGUGAUAGUGAUAGGUGGUGGUGUUGCUGGAGUAGCGGCUGCUCGUGCUCUUCAUGAUGCUUCGUUUCAGGUAUGCAUGGCAAUGCAAUAUUUUACAGCCUUUCCCAUACCGAUGAACUAGUUAAAUAAAAGAUGCGACUGAGAUUCUCCUACCAGCAUAAGCCGCAUGAUAAACUUGCUCAUGUCAUGUGUCUGCUCACUGACAUGUAACGCACGUUUCCACUUGUAUUUUGGUUUGUUGGUGGAUCUUGUAGCUGCCUGGCACCUCUAACAUUGAUGUAGGCUCCAAAUUCAUACCGGAAGUGGGCUAAUUUGUUAUUGCAGCAAGCAAUAUAGGAAUGUGUUAGUUUUGUCACUGUUUGGAUGUCAAAUGCUAGUUUUCCGCAUGAAUCACCAAACAUGUGCCUAGAAUUCCACCAUAUUACAUAUCACUACUGCAUCUGCGUCAAUUACUGUGGGGACAUGUUUACAUGUAAAGCAUUAUUCUUGGGGCAUGCAUUCAUGAAUUAUUCAUAGUACUGUUCUUUGAGGUGCGACAAUAUGGAUAUGCAUUUCUCAUGUGAUGAUUUUUCUGUCAGGUUGUGUUGUUGGAAUCUCGUGACAGACUAGGUGGUCGAGUCCACACUGAUUUCUCAUUUGGUUUUCCUGUUGACCUGGGUGCAUCAUGGUAAAACUUCUUUUUUCUCCUGAGGUGUAUUAAUAUUAUUUCUCCUUAUAUAUGUAUAUGUAGGUUUUUAAAAGGGGUAGCUAAAUGAUCAUAUUCCAGGUUGCAUGGUGUCUGCAAAGAAAAUCCCUUGGCCCCUCUAAUUGGGAGGUUGGGACUACCUUUGUAUCGAACUAGUGGUGACAAUUCUGUGUUGUAUGACCAUGAUCUUGAAAGGUAAAUCAAUAUUACCGGUAUUUAAUUUUAAAUUCCUGAUUAACUUGCUUCUAUGAAAUUUGCCCUGAAAAUUUUGCAUUUUUUAAAUAUAAAUUAUCAAACUUGCCUUUUGUUUUAGUUUUCUGAAUUUGUAUUGUUUGUCAUUCUCGCCUGUUUGGUUAAAAGUUGGCUGAGGUUUAUAAUGCCCGAAUAGUAUAAUAUUUGAUUUGUUGAGUCCUAGCAUUGGGGUUUGCUGCUUUUUCCGUCUUUACUAUUGUUGGUUAGAUUUUAACUUGUUAAUGUAUCUUUGACAUUCUCAGAAUUUGGAAAAGUUUUCCAGUUUGGAGCUGUAUGUUGGGCUGAUCCGUUACAAGCUCAACUUUUUUUGCUGCAAUAGUAUAUUGAAUUUGCUUUUCCUUUUCAUUUAAAGGUUUAAUUGUUUUCACCAAGGUGAUAUUGGUUUUGUGGGUUUUUCUUGUUCUAUUUUUUUUUUACUGGAUAUACAGAAGCAGUUGCAGGAUUUGUAGUUCUAUCUCCUCUGCUCCACACUAUUAAAAGGCUAUUGAAAUUUCUUUAUUUAAUCAGCUCUCUGACCUGCCUCAGUUCAAGUUAGCAUGUGCAUAGCAUCUUUAUUAGUUGGCUUUAAUCUUUAGAUCUUUAAAUUGAUGCUUACGCUCAGUUAUUUUGUCCUUUUCUUAAAGUACAGACCUUCCACUCAUGAAAUAUAAUUUUGGUCAUUGCUUAUCUUGUAAUUAAGCUUUAAUAAUUUGUGAUCCAAAUCUUCAAGCGCCACACUCAAUGCCAAAAGCAUCUUGUUUUUGCUAAUGUGAUAAGUUUCAUCUUAACAAAUCUAACGCUGUGGUCAUUUGUCGUGUCAUCUGAAGUAUGCUUCGGUGGAAUUUCAGAAAGCAAUGGAGGAUCUACAUUUCUAUCCACUUUCUUGGUUUUCCUAGUAAUGCAACUAGUACUUUAUUAUCUUGUGGUAAAAAAUGGUCUUAUUUUGAGCAUGAUGCAUUUGAUGAUCUUGGCUUUUCAUGUUGCCUUUCUCUAAUGGGUUUCUUGUUGAAGAUUCUAAUGGUGUGUACAGAAGGCAUGAGAAUGUGGAGGGUAAAGAAGGAACAGAAUUUUGUAAAAAGAUUCCUUGUCCAUUGUUUGGGAGGCAGGAAAAAAAUAGGUGGGAGAGGGAAAACUGAGGUGAUAGUAGGAUCCUUUCAGUCCAUAUUCUUUUGGAGGAGGGAUAUGAGGAAAAUGCCUAAAGUAACGUUAUACCCCUAUUUGUUAACUUACUCAAAUGUCAAAAAUAUAAAUGUGAAUAAUAUCAAACAAACUUUCAUCAAUUAGAUUUUCUUGCCAUUCAAACCGUAGGGGCGUGGGCCAUGGGGGCAAGGGGUUGAAAGUUGCUUUAUCUUUGGAUUCUACCUUCAUUUCCAUCUUCUUUGGUGUAUUCCUUUUGUCCAAAUUUCUCCAUGAUGUAGUGUGUAAUUUCUUGAGUAUCAUCUUGGCACCAUUAACUCAACCAUCCAUGCCAAAACUGUCAUGGCACUAGCUUAGGAAACAAACCUGCCUACAGGUCUGCCAAUGGCCUCAAAGUAAGUGGUAGUUUGCUACAAUUGCUAUACCUAAUCAUCUUUAAAAUUGAGGGAAGCAAACAAUGUUUAUCAUAUUUCUUUAGUCAUUAGUCCUUGAUUUUCUUUAACAAACUUAAUUCUCCUAUUUCAAAGCCUGUGGCACUGCUAUUGCUUGAUAAUGUUUUAAUGUUUCUGCAGCUAUGCUCUAUUUGAUAUGGAUGGGAAUCAGGUUCCUCAAGAACUGGUAUCUAAGGUUGGCGAAACUUUUGAGAGAAUCUUACAAGAGGUAUUUUCUUCUUCCAUUCCUUCGAUUUUUCUGCUUUCUAAUUCUAUAAUGCUCUAUUUUCUUUACUACUGCUUCAGUUUGUCACUAGAACCUCUUUGAAUUUUGUAUCCCAUAAUCAUACUCUUCUUGUUUCUUUUUUGGUGGUGUAUUUCUUGCAUGUACAAAGAGAUUUGAUUUGCUAUUUAUGCUUGUGGAUAAUUCCCCAUGUCACUUUCUAAGUUUCACCCUUAGGCCACAAGAGAAUAAUGGCCUUCUAUUUGUGUUAUUAGCAUUUCCUUACUUUCCUUCAUGUUUCAAAAUGCAGACAGAGAAAGUAAGACUGGAAUACAGUGAAGACAUGUCCAUAAUCAGCGCUUUCUCAAUUGUUUUUGAAAGAAUACCAGAAUUAAGGUUUGAUGAGAAUAAUAACUUGUUGAAGUAGCUUAUUCUUCUAAUUCAUAUGGUUGUUGAACUCGGAACAUAAUUCAAUGAAAUGUUUCUACGGUGCAGGUUGGAGGGGCUUGCCCAUAAGGUGCUUCAAUGGUACUUGUGUAGAAUGGAAGGCUGGUUUGCUGCUGAUGCUGAUACCAUCUCACUCAAGAGUUGGGAUCAGGUAAAUUGUUUCGUAUCAGCAAUUUAAAUUAUUGUGAAUCCUGGCCAUGUGCUGUAUCAUCACAAAUAGAAUGAAAACAAACAAGAAAUUGUGUUGGAGGUGGGCCCCAGGCAUGUGUUAGAAUUGGAUCUUAUACGUGCUAAUUGCAAUUAUUUCACAGAAAUUUAGAAGUAACUGGUAGGUAUUUUUUAUAUUAAUAAUGACAUUUGGAUUCCCUGAAAUAUUGUUUGUUGGUUAGCAAUCUUGCUAUAAUGUUUACAGGUAGGGACAGCUAAGAAUGCUGGAUCCCACGGCAAAAGUGAAGUAAUGAUGUGUACAAUGGAAAUGCAAAUACAUUAUCUACUGUAUUUUACAAAUUGAUCCACACUCUGAAAUAUUAGUUCUCUGUUGCUUAAUUGAAUGGGUUAUGAGAGAUGCUUGCACAGGUGCUAGACAUCAUUUUGUAGCACUUCGUAUCUUGAUAUGAAUAACUUUAUAUCUAGUUGUGUCUUCAAACUCCCUCUUAGUUGAUUAUCUGUUGGCUUUCCGAGUCACUGCUAGCUUUUAGUAGACUUCUGAUAUUAUUUGUUGACACUGGCAUCAUUUCACCUUAUUUCAGGAAGAACUGCUUCCAGGUGGGCAUGGGCUUAUGGUGAGGGGCUACCUUCCUGUUGUAAACACACUUGCCAAAGGACUUGAUAUCCGCCUAGGACACAGGUACAAGUCAAUUAUGUUCAUCACUGACAUUUUUUAUUCUGGUCUGAUUGACACUUGUAAAAAUAUACUUGAAGCUUGUGUGUGCACGUACAUGCAUGUGAUGCAUGCACAUUUUGUGCAAGUAUAUUUCUAAUUAAUAUCGAUUUUAAUCCCUUCUCUCAUUUUUUGUUUUCUAGAGUAACAAGAAUUGUUAGGCAUUAUAAUGGUGUAAAGGUAUCAACUGAAAACGGGAGGACAUUUGUGGCAGAUGCUGCUAUUGUUGCUGCUCCUCUUGGAGUGCUGAAAUCCAGGGCCAUAACUUUUGAACCUAAGCUUCCAGAUUGGAAAGAAAAAGCCAUUAACGAUCUCGGGGUGGGAAUUGAGAAUAAGAUUGCAUUGCACUUUGACAAGGUGUUCUGGCCAAAUGUAGAGUUCUUGGGAGUGGUUGCAGAGACAUCUUACAGCUGCAGCUACUUCCUAAAUCUACACAAAGCUACCGGUCAUUCUGUUCUUGUUUAUAUGCCUGCUGGACAGCUGGCCAAAGACAUCGAGAAAAUGUCUGAUGAAGCAGCUGCCAAUUUUGCUUUCUUGCAACUCAAGAAGAUCCUACCUGAAGCAUCUGCACCGGUAAUUUCAGUUCUAAUAUGGUUUUGCAACUUAAAAGAGUUCAAAUUCUUGAGCAUCUUUUCUGGUCCUGUCUCAAAAAUAUAGAAGUCAUAACCCUUUCCUUUAUUUUUUUUUAUUUUUUUUUAUUUCAAUUGGUUUAUAAUGCAGAUUCAGUAUCUUGUUUCUCACUGGGGCUCAGAUAUCAACUCACUCGGUUCCUAUAGCUACGAUACAGUAGGCAAUUCCCAUGAUCUGUAUGAAAGGCUAAGGAUCCCUGUAGAUAACCUAUUCUUUGCAGGAGAGGCAACAAGUACGAACUACCCAGGGUCAGUGCACGGUGCAUUCUCAACAGGACUGAUGGCUGCGGAAGAUUGCCGGAUGCGAGUUCUGGAGCGAUAUGGCGAGUUAGACUUAUUCCAGCCAGUCAUGGGUGAGGAGGCAUCAGUAUCUGUUCCGCUCUUGAUCUCUCGUAUGUAACUUGCCUGGUCAGGGUGGCUCUAUUCUAUAGUACGAAGGUAAUAAUAUGUAAAAGCAUGUAGCAGAUAAAUGUUGAACAUGGGAUGAGGGCUGACACAUUAUUGCCAUUUUGAUGGGGGCAGUCUGGGAAAUUAUUGUUUCCUUGAGACUAAAACUAGUCACAUUGGUUCAUGUGAAGUCUCCCCCCUGUUUAGCAUACUUAGCAAUUAUUAUUUGGACAGACAAAACAGUAUAUUGUGUCAGCUUUGUGACUUAUUCUAAAGCUAGUUGAUAGACUUUGUCUCCUUAAAAUUGAAUUUUAAUUAUUAUGCUAUUAUUCUAUUCCCUUUCUUAUUGCCCUUUUGUUUAACCUUUGUUGAUUUCAGCCAUGAUAUCUAAUUUAGGCUAAGAGUCACUUAACUUUUAAUUUGAAAUAAUAUAAAAAUUUCUCUUACCCAUUAAAACCAGAUUUUCUGUUACAAAAUUGAUCUUAAUUAAUAAAAAUUAUAUGGAUUAUUAAUUAACCCUUCAACAAUCGUUAGUCUAUAUGAUUAACAAUUGUAGUUGUGGAAAUAGAGAUUCCUUAAAUAGAUAUUGGAGGAUUUUUUGAAUAUUAAUUUCAGAAAUUUAUUAGGCUAAAAAUAGAAGUAACAAAUCUCAUUAAUAAGAUAAAAAGAAGCUUAAGCCUUAAUGCAUUUCACAAUUACUUGUCUUUUCUGAACAAUUUGUGAUGCUUAGUCACUCAAACAAUAAUGUGGCUGAGCAACAAUUACAUAUCGAUCAAAUUUUAUAUUACUAAGUAUAAAGGAAAAAAAAAAAAUUUAAGUAGAAUAGUAUAAUUUGAGUUUUGAUCUUUGAUUUAUCAAAACUCAAAACCAUAAAGCUUUAUUUUUUUUACUUUUUCACUUUUCCCUAGAACAACAGCUAUUUUAAACUGACAAAAUUGAAAUUAAAUUUUAUUUGCAUUAGUUGAUCAAUUAAGGAGUAAAGUGCUUUCAAUUAAUAUUUACUCUAUUCAUAAGAAUCGAACACGUAAUCUUAUUUAACUCGAUCUCAUUAAAAAGUAAAGUGCUUUCAAUUAGUAUUUAUUCUUUUCAUAAAAAUCGAAUACUUAAUUUCAUUUAACUCGAACUCAUUUAAAAAAAAAUGACAACACAUAUGAAUUUCAAAAAAAGCAAAAAACCAUCAUAAAUAUAAAUCCGCCUGUAAUAUAUCUAUUGUAUAAUGAAAUGAUGCUAAAAUUUCUCUCAUAUUUUCCUGAAACUACUCCUUUCUGCCUCUGCUCUUCUUUUAAUAUCAUGGAUAGCCCAGCCUGGAAGUACAAGUAGGAAAAGCAUCCAAAAGAAGAGAUGGUCCUCUGAACUAUUAGGCCUUUGGAAGCAGAUCAUGGUGAAAGCUAAAUAGCCGGGUAAAGUUGGCUGCAAAAUGAGGGGAGAAUAAAGUAGACCAGUAAAUAAAUGAAUGAUCAGAAGGUGUUUGAUAUAUAAAUCCAAUGAACUGCAGCCAGUCAAUGAAUUGAGCUGAAGCUUUCGACGGGAUCAGAUUCUUCAAGCAUGGAACAGCUAAGUAUAGAUGAACAUAAAUUACAACAAAACAUACAAGGACUUAAACCUCAGAAUUAAGAUGUAACCCCUCUCUUAAUGAAGAUAUUUCCCUCAUCGAGCUUUACUUCAACUUCAGUCGUUUUCAUAAAAACCCCAUUUGCAUGUAGAUCUCCAACUUCUUUUUGUUCUUCAUUCUCACAGAACUGCCGAUUGGCUCCCCACCAUUUGUGCUCUCUUCCUCCUCUUUCCUCAUCAUGGAAAAAGGAUUAAAUGAACAGAACAACGAAAAGCAAAUUACUUGAAUUUUAAGAAAAGAAAAAGAGAGGGAGAAGAUUAACUCACUGAUCAACAAGGUGGUCUUGUAAAUGGCUGAACUGCAACGACAAUGCAAUGCAGAAUGGAAGAGACGUAGACACUGCUGCAGUGCAGUCGCAAUAUGUUGUGACUAGGAAGGUGGACCCCACUACACCAACCAACCAGUAAUAUCCAAACAUACUCCGCUUAAUAUUUUGUUUGGAAGUUAUGUACACAUAAAUAAUAUUAUUAAAUUGAGAUUUUUUUUUUCAAAUUUUAUUAGUUUAUUUAUAUUUUAAAAUCACUUAAUUAAAAGUUUCAAUAUUUUAUAAAAUCAAAAUUUUUAAUUAUUUUAUUAAAAAAAUUAUUAAUCACCUUGAAUUUUUAUAUUAUUAUAUUGAUAUAAUUUUGCUUAUAUAUAUUUAGUUUUAUAAUAUUAAUAUUUAUACUAUUUAAUCACUUUAUUUAAAAAAUAAAAUAAAUUGAUUAAUAAUUUAUUAAUAAAAACUUAAUAAUUUAAUUUUAUAAAAUACAUAAAUAUUAUAAUUGAAUAAUUUUAAAAUAGAGAUAAAUUAUUAAAUUUUUUCCUUAAUUUAGAUAACUAAUAAUUGUUCUUCAUAAAUUUCAUUGAAUAAAAAAUGAAAAUUUCAGAGAUUACUCUCAAAAUUUUAUUUUAAGAAACACAAGUAUUUUGUUAAUAUAAUUAAAUACAGACUCAUGAUUUUUUUUUUCCUUAAAAAAAUAAGUGAUACAGUGAAAUUGGAAGUAUCCAACUAAACCUCUAGCGUUUGGCUGAUCUGGCCGUCCGAAUCAAAUUCCAAACCAAAUAUUUAAUCUUUUUUUUUUUACCAAAAAAAAAGAGAAAAGCGAAAACAUCGCCCUCUUUAUUAACGCCAGAAUCCUUAUGGCCUUGGAUCUUAUGUGUCAAUUUGUCACUUCUGUGUUCUAUUGGGACUUUCAUAAGAUUGAUUUGAUUGGAGAGAGCAGUGAUGAAGCGCUAUAGAAAUGGCGAAAUCUGGGACUUCGAACACGAAACUCCGGUGUCCGAGGACCGGCCGGUGAUUUUAGGAUUGGACGGCGGGACAACAUCCACCGUCUGUAUAUGCAUGCCAGUCCUACCUUUCUCCAAUCCUCUCCCGGACCCACUUCCCGUCCUUGCGCGUGCAGUCGCCGGUUGCUCCAACCACAACAGUGUUGGUGGUCAGUACGUUUCUUCUGUGACUUUUCUAUAUUCAGUUUCAAAUUUCAAUUGCUCUGGCAUUUUGUUCAAGGGUUUUAUUUACUUUCUCUGCUGGCUGCCGCUGUUGCUUUUCUAGACUAAUAAGAUGGAGUAAAAGCUUAAUUUAUUAUCAUUAAUGGUAAAUUGGCUACAUUACAUGCUAUAUAAUGUUUCCUUUUGCAUUGCUUGCAUGCAGGACUGCUCUCUGUAAUUUGUUUAAAUAAUUUAUGUAUCUAUAAGUGGCAGCAAUGAGUUGUUUUGUACGAACACAAUGGAAUUUCGGGCCAGAGAUGUAUGUAAUGUGUGUAGGUGUUGUUUAUACGUAGGUUGUUAAGUAGUGAAAUGGAUGGGUGCUAUCUGAGCUGAAGAGCAUUAUCAUUACUCUAACAAUUUUGAUUCUUAGUCCUUUUGUAUUUUACAUGCUACAGAAACUGCUGCUAGAGAGACAUUGGAGCAAGUUAUGGCAGAUGCCCUUUCAAAAUCAGGCUCCAAUCGCUCCGCAGUUCAAGCUGUUUGUCUAGCAGUUUCAGGUGUUAAUCAUCCAACAGAUGAACAAAGAAUUUUAAAUUGGCUUAGGUUUGCUUUCUAAUACUGACAGUUUACAUCAUUUUCCCUGCACGCGCACACAUUAACAAUAUCUGAAAUAAUAGGCAAAUAAUUGUUUCCUGUCAAAUUAUGGAGUUUUAAGCUUUAGAAAUGUUUGAUCUAUAAUUCUAUACGUGACUCUGCCUUUUGCUAUACAUCCUCUAGAAAAUGGUAGGCCUUUUAAGUUUCAAUUUUUUGAUAUUGCUUCAGCAACUUAGGUAUUACAUGUUGAAAAUUAGUCUCCCAAUUUGAUAUUUCCAUCGUGACUUUACAACCUCAACUGCUAACAAUUGGCCCCCCCUCUUUGCCAACUCUUUCAAGUAAGUCAUGUUCUGUUGUUUGAUAAUACAUUCAUUUUGGUGUUACUGAAUUAAUAGCUUUUACAUGUAAUUCAAUUAUUGAUUUUCUUUUUAUUUUAGUCAUUUUGCUAAUUAUUUGAAAACAUUAUAGAGUUUGUGGCUGAUUUUGUUUGACUACAUGACAUCCUCUCCAAUUCCAAAAUAUGUUUUAUUUUGGUUUCUUAAACUCCUGUUUGCAACCCCUUUAAAUGUCCAAAAUUUUUACAGACCAUAGUGAAUGUUGGGGAGUAAAUGAGUCAGGAUGCUCAUGCUUGAGAUGCCAAAUACCUGAAUUUGACUUUGUUUUGAUUGAUUGGAGUUUGAACUCGAGUAGUUUGAGUAGUUAGUGGAGCUUCCUUCCAUUAUUUCAAUGCUCAAUGGGUGUCUCUUGAGUGUUGAAGUUUUCUUGUUUUAUUUCAUAUAUAUUUAAAUGAUAACUUAUGAAGACUAAAGUGCUAAUCCAAUAUAUAUUACUAAAUAAGUUAGUUCACCUAAACUUUUAAUGAAAACUAAUUUGAGUGUUACAAGCAUCAAGCGUGAAAGCAAAGCUUGAUUGAGCUUAAGUCAAGUUUGUUUAGUGCACUUUAUUGAUUUAACCAGCUCGGUUAUUCCCAUAAUAAAGUUUGGAGUUAAGUCCUUGAACAAGAAAGGUUAAUAAUGAGACCUCUAAGAAAACGACCAUGAAAUCAAUGCAGAAGUAAAAUAAUUUCUAUGAUUGGGAGUAUGCAUAAAAUACUUGCCAGGUGACAUUGGGAUUAUAUGAUCUAAGCACUUGAAAUAUGUUUGCUUUCCAUAUAGGCUUUAAAAAAUAUACAUAAAAAAAAAAGUUAGAAUUAUAGCUAGAACCAUGAUAAGAAAGACUAAGCAAGAUGCAUGAAAAAUUUUGCCUCUGAAUUAUUGUAAUUCUGCUCUUUACAUAUUUACAUUUUUAUUGUCCCCGUCAUUUUCUUUUUAACUUCAACAUAGUCAUUUCUUAAAUCUGCUAUAACUUGAUUUGUGCAGGGAUAUAUUCCCAAUUCAUGUUAAGCUAUAUGUCCAAAAUGAUGCUGUGGCAGCAUUGGCAAGUGGGACAAUGGGAAAGCUUCAUGGCUGCGUUUUAAUUGCUGGUACUGGCACUAUUGCUUAUGGAUUCACAGAAGAUGGUAGAGAAGCUCGGGCUGCAGGUGCUGGACCCAUCUUAGGUGAUUGGGGAAGGUAUAUAUUUGAUUUCCCCAUUUCUUUUUCUUCUCUUUCUCUAUUCUCUCUCCUGUUCUCCCUCUCAUAGUGAUGCCCCAGUAUAAUUUUAUGCAUGGCAAUGAAGAAAAGAAAUAAGCUUUAGUAAGGUGCUUGCAUUAAAUCCUUGACUUAUUGGAAAGCUCUUGUUAAGGUUCUAAAAGCCAGCAUGUAGUUGAAGAGCUUGGCUGGUAAAAUAACUGCAUUUUCAACCUUCUCUUCCUCUCAUUAAACUAAAUUCUACUAGCUUCACUUAUUACUAGUACUGGGUGCUUGCUAAUUUUUACUUUUUAAAUUAUUUUCCUUAUGGAAUAAUCAAGCUGCCCAUUUGUAUCUUCAAAGACCAUUUUGAAGAAAGUUAUUCUCAUCCCUUUUGUUAGUAUGAAUAAUAUUUUUAUUUAUCCUUAAAUGUGAGUAUGAGAGUAUGUAUCUUCAGAGAAGUUUCAUCUAACUGAUUUUUUGUUUUGCUGCAGUGGAUAUGGAAUAGCUGCACAAGCAUUAACAGCAGUAGUAAGGGCCCAUGAUGGUCGUGGUCCUGAAACAAUUCUGACAAAUAGUAUUUUACAGGAGCUUGAUCUUUGUUCUCCAGAUGAACUUAUUGGGUAUGCAUUCCAAGACUUAUCAGUGCCAUUUCAUUCUUGUUUUUCACAGUUAGUAGUUGUUAGGAUCUCUGAUGAUCUUCAAUACAUUGAGAGAAAAAUUGUUGUAAAUUGUGAUUUUUUUUUCAAUCUAACGGUUUUUUUUUUUUUUUUUCUUUAAGUGAUUCCUUAUAUUGUUAAUAGGAUUAUAAUGAAACCGCAUCGAUGUACUACUUGAACUGGACUUGAUUGAGAAAUUUGAGGCAGGAAACUUGACUUGAACUGAAUCAAGUUGUAAUUUUCAUGCAUGAGCUCUUCAUGAUGUGAUACUUGAAGUACUGAAAUAAAUCACCAUAACCAGUUUCUGAAUUAAGAUACCACAUGAACUCAAAUGCAUUUGAAUUUCACAAAUUAUUAUGCAGAUAUUGUAUAAAAAUAAAUAUAUGUUAAAUUCUAUAAACUUAAAUACUCAAUUAGACUUGUGAUUCAUUAGGUUUCAGCUUGACAAUUACAAUUCGAAAUAUUUACAAGUAGGGUCUUAUUAGCAUAAGAUAGGUGAAUUAUUUACACUAAUAACUUGAAGAUGGAAAAUAUUGAAAAUGAAAAUUUAGUUCUUUACAUCAAAAUAAUUUGAACUUGCAAGUACAGUAUUUCUUUGAUUGAUGUAGUGAAAAAAUAGGAAAUUGAAGAAAUUUCACAUAAAUACUUUUCUAAAAUUUUUAUCACUUGGUUCUUUCAAGUGAAUGAAUUUUGUGGACCUGUUUAUAUUUUUAAAUAUACAAUAAUUGUUUCUCUUAUGUAAUCUUUAAGAAUUACUGAAAAAAGAAAAUUAUGUUUCAGUAUUCUUACUUUGGUUGGAGUGCAUGUGGUGCUUGAUAAAAUGAAUACCAGUUAUGGAAUAACAUAUUGUGUUUUAUCUUUUGGUAUAUAGGUGGACGUACGCAGAUCCAUCUUGGGCUCGUAUUGCAGCUCUAGUUCCAGUCGUUGUAUCUUGUGCAGAGGCAGGUGAUGAAGUAGCAAAUAAAAUCUUGCAAGAUUCAGUUGAAGAGUUGGCUUUAAGUGUGAAAGCUGUUGUUCAAAAACUUGACUUAUGUGGUGAAGGUGUGGUUCAGUUAAUUCUUUGGUUUGGUUCCGAUCACUAUGAAAUAGGGAUAGAAGGUUCACUAGGCCUGUUGACCUCAAAACGCUUAUGGUUAUUCUGGUUAAAGUAAAAUAUGGUAUAAUUAUGCUGGUAUUUGGUGAAAAAAAAAAGCUCAUGAGCUGGGUAAUUAAUUCAAUGAUAUCUGUUUAUAUUGUACAUGUUGCAAAUUACAAAAUGUGGAUGAACAUGGUGAUUAAGUUUAUUUUUCUUCGGAUUGCAUUUUUGUCCUUGACAAUCAGAUCCAUAUUGAGCAUAUAGUGCAUAAGUUAUUAUGAUAUAGCAGUUCCUUCAGAAUGGCUUUUACAUGUUUCUGGACAGUGAACACCAAAUAUGAGGCGGUUAAAUUUUAGGAAUACAGUUAAUAUGUACUUAAAAGAAUUAUGGGUAACUAGAUAGCCUUUUAGUGUUGUUCUACCUCCCUUGAAGUUUUUGUAUCUUAUUAUGCUUUUGUGAUAGAUGGAAAUGCUUCUUUUCCCCUUGUUAUGGUUGGUGGUGUUCUUGAAGCAAAUAAGAGGUGGGAUAUAGGAAAAGAGGUUGUAAACUGCAUUUCCGAAGACUACCCUGGGGCUCUUCCAAUUCGGCCAAAGGUAACCACUAUUCAAUUUCUUCCCACCAUAAGUUUUUUAAUUUUUAUUUUUUUAUUCUUUGAAUGACUGCUCAGUUUCCAGCAAAUCUUCUGUUAAAUUUCUUCAAUGACAGUAUUUGAACAAAACUUGGCUGUGGACACUAGCCCAAAAAGAAAAUGAACUAAAUGCACUUUAUGAAUGAAGAUUGAAAGAAUUCCUACAAAUAUAAUAAUUAGGAGUUGAAAAUAUGUUUGGUUGUGUGUUUUCCUCAUUCAUUACUGAUGUUCUUUGUUCAAGAUGUUUCUAAUCUAUAAUAGUUAAUCGUUGAUCUUUUAAAAGAAAAAGACUUGUGAUUAUGGGAAUAAAUUUCGUAUAACCCCAAAAAAUUCAGAAAAUGAAAGGGAAAGGAGUACAAAAGUCGGUUGGCCUGUAAUAAGUCAUUAUGGCUGCAGAUCUUGUUUUCUAAUCAUUGUUUUUUUCAAAAAUGAACUAAGUUUAACUCACCCUAAAAGUUAGCUUAAAGAGGAAGGAGUGUCUAAGGCUUUAUUGGGGGCACGUUACCUUAUUUAAAACAAUUGUGAAAAUUUAACACACCCCCUUCACUAAGAACCAAACAAACCAAACAAUUGGAGCGUGAAAUGGAGAUAAACAUGGAAUGAAGAGGCUCUAAUAUCAGCUUAAGAAAAUGAGACUUACCCUAAAAGCUAGCUCAAAGGAGGAGUGUCUAAGGCUUCAUAAGGGGUGCACUCUCUUAAUCCAAACCAAUGUGUAAACCAAAAUCCUUAGAGACAAUUAAGCUAAAUGUCCAAUUGGAAUCCAAUAAGGACAAGUGAUCAUCUGUUGGAUAUCCUGUUUUAUAUAUUAAAUACAUUGGUGUUUGUGCUCAAGAAGCUAAACAUGUAUAUAUAUGGUUACAAAAUCCUGUAAAUAUUUUAAGUGUAUUGCUCAAAAAUUAUUGGCCUAAAACAAGCAUAUUAGACAAAAAGAAAUAUCGUGAUGCAUGCCUAGAAAAAAGAUUUUGAAAUUAAUAUUAAUUCUUAGUUUCAACAUUUAGUUUUCAACUAUAAAUUUUUGUUACAUUUCUAUUUAGGAAAAUACAGAUUUCCAAGGUACCAAAGCUUCUGGAUUUUAUUAAGACAUUUUUUUUCUUAUUUAGGAAUUUAUUUGCUUCUUAUUUGGAAGUAUGGGGAUCUGUAUUAUUGAGGUAUUUUUCUUGUUGAACGAGUACAAUAAUCCUCUACAAAUAUGUGUAAUAUAGAUUUUAUUGGGCUUUGGUAAUGGAAAUCGAGUAUUUUGAUUUUGUGUGACGCCGGUGUGCUUAAGACUCCCCUUCUCUAUUUCCACUGUCUUUUUUUUUUCCUUCCGCAAUCUUACUGCUACUGAAUCAGUAGUAAUGUUGGCUUCAAAAGGCCAUCGAUUUCACCUAUAUUCUCUCUAAUCAACCCUAAUCUGAACUCAUCUCAACCCGGAUCUCCCUUCUUCAAAUCUUGGCCCUAACACUCGUCAAUAACUUGUUAAUUUUCUCUCCAUAAAAGUGUCAGUUGGAAGAUUACUUAAUCUGUGCCUGUGAUACACCAAGAGUGUCUCAUUUUUUUAUAGCAGUUCACAUAGGGAUCCUUGUUUAGACUCUGUUCUUGCGACAAACCAUCUUUGUAAUUCUUCCAUGAAUCACUUGCCAAUUACAUGUCUUAACCUCAUGGGUGGGUUGGCUUAUAAUUUGCCCAGGGAAGAAGAUAGAAGUUUUUAGUGCAGCUUAGCUUUCCAAAUGCAAUUUACCUAGUGGGAUGCAAAUUAGGAGGAUACAUAAGACGGUAGAAAUUUCGAUCUGCAUGAAAAGACUAAUCUGCAAUUCAAGUUAAAUUCUUUUGUUUUAUUUUUCUUGAGAAAUAGUAGGGUCAACCUAUUGGGAAGAGAGAACAUUAGUUGUUUUAGGUUAGGUCUGAUUGAGAUUUCUAGAGUUCUAAGAAACAUUUGACUUGCAAAACUAGAAAUUGGAGUGCCAUUAAUAUUUUGAUAAUUAACAAAAAAUUGUGAAUGGCUAUCGAAUAUGGAAAUGAAAAAAAUUAAGGGGGCAUUUUAGGUAAAUUUCCUAGAGCAUAUAUUAUGGUUAAAGUUACUUGAGGACUCUUAACAGGAUCAUAGUUAUCCCACCCAUUCUAACGCAUGCCAUACAUGUGAUCUUCUUAUUAUUAUGCUAAAGGAAGUAUGGUUGAAGACGUGUGAUUUGAUCCCUGCCCCCCGACUUUUUUUUUUGUUAUGUGCAAGUAUGAUUUGGAUCUCCAUAUUUGUUUUGCUUCUUUCUUCUUUUUGCUCUAGACUCAACUCUGACUAGGUUUGAAUAUGACCUUGCUGAGAUUAAUUAUAAUUCGGAUCAAGCUUGAAUAAAAGAGGAAAGAUGCAGUAUGUGACAGAUUAAAAAAAAUAUCCUAUGAUACAUGUAUCUCCAAAUUAAAAGAAUGUUGUGGCAUUCCUUGCCCAAUUAAAUGCACUGGAGAUCAGGUGAAGCGGAACAAAUCAUGUAACGAGCUAUGACUAUGCAUCUUAUGAUUAGAGUGUAUUUGGCAUCGUUCCUAGAGUAGUUGUUUGGAAAACACCUCCUUAAAUAUGUUAUUUAGAGGCUGCCAUAAAUUAAUGUUGAUAUAUUUAAUCAGUAAAUUUCUGAUACAAUUAAACAAUUUUUUCCAAUAUUAUUUAUAAUGAUACUUUUCUAAACAGCAAGUUUAAACUGUAAUCCUAAACAGGCUUUUAAUUGCACAUUUUUUAUUUCGAAACGUGACAGAAAAUUUCCUAUGCUUCUUAUCGAUUAAUGUAUUACCUUAUUUCAAUUACUAUAUAUAAUAUGUGUUUUAUUUCUUGCAUCACCAUCAGGUGGAGCCUGCAGUAGGGGCAGCAUUGUUGGGCUGGAAUUUCUUCAUGAAAGAGACUUGCAAGGAAGAUUACAAAAGAUGACGAAGGUGGGUUGAGUUGUACAGAAUCAAGUGCAUAAAUUGGCCGUUCAAGCAUAUUUUUCUUGGUAUGUUAUAAGAGGACUCUAUUAGCUUAGGUUGAUUUUUUUUUUCCCCUAAAUUACUCCCCAAAUUGGCUUAUUUUGUAGAUGUACUUGCAUUUAAACGAUUUGAAAAGAAAAAGAAGGAAAAAAAGUUGGAAGUCUCAGUUUGUGCUGCAUUGCAUGGUAUGCUGCAACUGUAACUUGUAUUGCCAAUUUGUCAGCAUCCAAUAUUAUAUUGAAAGUGAUUUUUUGUCCGGGUCCUUUUUUUUUCUUUUCUUUUUUCUUUUUGUUUCCCAUCUCGACAGGACUUGGGUGUAUCUGGUGGGCUGGUUCCGGUCUGGGCUCGGGGGCGUUAGAUUUUAAUUUAAUUCAUUUAAAAUCGAUUGAAACUCUUCCAUUAUAGAUUUUUUUUUUUCAUUGCCAAGGAAACAAAAAAGAAGAAUUUAUAUUAUCUAUUAGAAAAUUUUGUCACAAAGUAUGGAAAUUAUUAUAUAUUUAUGUUUUAUUUACACAGAGACGUAAUUUGCGAAUGAAAUAAGAUACUAGAUUUGCAAUUGUAAAAAGAUGGAGAAGGGGGCUUCAGAAAUUCGGUUUAGGAGUUCAAAAUGUGGACUGGUCAAUAGUUCCAAUCGGGAUUUUACAAAUCCGAGGCCGAUUUGAAAUUAAUCCAUUAUUGGAUCUGCUUGUAUCUACGGCUUUUACUGAACAAACUUCUUCACAAGCUCUUCGAAAUAAUACCAAAUUAUAUUAUUUCUUCUCUUUACCGUUAUAAAUGGAUAUCUCAUUUCCCUCUUUCCUCGUGAAGAGAGAGUUUCGAGGUUUUCAAUCUCUGCCGCACUAGAUCUAGUCUGAUUUUAUUAUAUUUUUCCCUUUUUUUUAAUUAUCUCAUUUUCACUUAUCAAUAUUAGUAGAUUUGAAUAAUCUAAUACUUAAAUUUUUAAAAAGUGUUAAAACAAUGUAUGAUUGAUUUUUGUUUUUUAGUCUUUUGAAAGGGAUGCGACUUUUUAUUAUAGGUAAAAUAAAAUUCACUUUUCAAUAAGUAAUUCAAAAUAUAUAGUAAUAUAGUUAAAUUAAGAAGUAUUUUAUUAUUCAUAUUAUUUCAUAAAAAAUAAACAUAGAAUUAAUUUACAUAAUAAAAAAAUAAUUAAUAUAAUUAAAUUUUAUACAAAAGUCGCCCAUAAUUAAAUAUAAAUAAAAAAAGUGAAUAUAUUUUUAUUGAAUGGUGUGCGUAUAAUUUAAGUAAUUUUAAUUGUUUUAUUAACUAUUAUAAAAGAAAAUCAAAUGAGAGAGAAAAAAAAAUGAAGAAAAAGAAAUGCACAAGUUUCUACCGACAUGCCUGCAAAAACAGACACAGAAAGAUAUUGGUGUGCUGUCAGUCAUAACAUAUAAAGAAGUGAAAUUCACUGCUUUAAAAAAAAAAAUAAAAAAAAUAAAAAAGAAGUGAAAUUCACCAUGCAGUUAAAAAAUGGCAAGGCAGAUAGCAAAGCAAAUUAAAGAAUGCCGACAGGGUGCAUGUCCUUCGUAAAUUUUGGUGUAUAAUUGUAAGUUAAACCAGCAGAUGUCAUAAAAGGCGAUCAAUCAUCGUCAAACCCUACCUACACGUUUUAGCUUUCGGAAUCUUUCCUAUUCCCUCGCCAUGCUCCUCCACCUGGAAAUUUUUUUGCACGUUUUGGGUUUACGUAUAUCUAACAAUUAAUAUAACGUUAUUAAUGUAAAUUUAAACAAUUUUAAUUAAAAAAUUACUAUUUAAUUUUUAUAUUAUAUAAAAAAAUUUUAAUUUUAAAAAAUAAUUAAAACGUCUAUUCAACACUAUUUAUCAUAUUGGAUUAAUAGUUUUAGCACUGUAUAAAUAAUAAUAAAUAUUAUUUAAUUAAUAGGGUGACAAAUCAUUUUCUGGCAUUCCUUGCAUUACUACAACCACCGAUCUUAUAUUUUAGGGUUUCAAUAGUAAUAUUUUAAUAACCAUUAUGAAUAUUAUUUUACAAGUAAUUUUAAAAAAGUAAUUUUUUAAUAUAUAAAUUAAUUUUUUUUAUUUAUUAUAAAAAAAUAAAUUACUGUUUUAUAUUAUAAAUAUGCAAUUUUUAAACGAUUAGGAUUGAUUUGUGAUUAUAAUUUAAAUAUAUAAGACAUCCAUACGGUGUUAUAUAUUGAUUAAAAUUAUAAUAAUUUAAUUAUUUAUAAAAAUUAAAAUUUAAUUAUUUAAAAUUAUGAAGUUAAUUUCUAAUUUAAAUUUUACUCUAUAUAUGCUAUAACUGUCACUUGCUGUUGAACCAAUUGUUUAAGGUUUUGGGAUAUAAUAAUUCUAAAGUUCAGGAAAAUAUAUAACAGUUUAACACACAAAAUAUAUUAAUUUCAAUAAAGUUGCAAUUUCAUACUUAAAUUGACUUCAUUCAAAAUUUUCAAUGAUUUUACUACAUAUAAAAAUAAAUAAAUAAAUAAAUUAAAAUUUAAUAAUUUCAAUGAUAUUGUAUCUAAAAAUAAUUAAGUAGUUACAUGAAAUGUAUCCAACCCAUGAUAUCUUGAUCACCUAACUUAGCUGGGAGCCUCUCUGAUCUAUAUCGAGUUUUCUCCUCGAAUCGGAUUUGGGUGAUCCAUUUAAAUUAGGGUUUAUAUGAUUUAAUAAUAUAAUUUAACCUUGAUAAUUAUAUUCUUGGUAUAUAUAUACGAUUCGUUCAUUCCCCAUGAGAGCACCCGUUAAACUAGCAAUUUUGUUUUAAUUAGCAAGGUUGAUGGGAAAUUAAUUUUGAAAUAAAGUUGAUUGAUUAAUAAUUAAUUAAUUAACAAGAAAUCAAUCAGACGGUCACAAAUAAAUAUCAACAUCAAGCCCUAUAGGGAUAUAUAGGGGGUAUCUUAUAAAUGGGACCCAAUAAGAUUGGUCAGCUGUCAUCCCCAUCAAAUUGACGUGUACCUCAGGUUUCCUCUCACUCUCAAAAUCAUGGCAAGUAAGAAUUUAUUUUGUUAAGUUCAAAAUCAACCAAAUUAGGUUUAAUGCCAAAACACCAUCACAUGCUUAACCUAAUCUUUGUUUUCAGUAAAAGAUUAUAUGCACAGUUAAUUUCCCACUAAGUUCAAAAAAUGUAAAAAAAUAAAAAUCUAUGUUCAUGAUUUUUGGCUUUGCAUUGCAUGUGUGUAUAUAUAAAUUCAUGCAUCCCAAAAAGAAAAAAAAAAAAGGGUUGGAGAGGGACCAUUCUGCUUUGAUAGGCAUGUCAUGAUUCUUCUAAAAACCUGACAUAAAGCAUAUACCUUGUAUCACUUGUCUUUUAGGGUUUGUGUACAAAAAUAUUAUCAUCCACUCUCUCUCUUUCUAGACAAAUUAAAGACAUCAAGAACAGCAACAUUUUGUCUGAACUAAUUGGCUUGGAUCUCAUCAUUCACAUUAAUCUGCAUAAAAUUUAAUAAACAUCUCAAUUGACUACAAGCAUAAACAUUAAUGCAUGUAUCUAUGUGUCUGAAGUUGUCAUGACAGAUCUGAUAAAGAUAAGCAAAGUGUUGUAUCUAUUUUCAAAAUAGAAUUCAAGAUUUUUCUUGCUUAAUUCUAAUAAACAUUUUUUAUUUUUUAUGUUAAAUAAUAGUAGAUUUUAUUUUUAUUAUUUGACACGAAAUUUGAUGAGUGAAUCAUAUUGAUUUUAAUUAAUUGAGGGUAAUAAUGUCAAUUAAAAUUUAAAUAGACAUAAAAAAUAUUUUUUUUCUGUGCGAUGAGAUUCGAUGUCAUAAUGAUAUUAAUUAAGGGUAAGAAUGUGAAUUAAAGUAUAAUAUUGCUUGAAUAAUAAAAGCUUGUGUUGACAAAAUGACAUACAAUAAUUGUAUGUUUAGAGGGAAAACUUAGAGUUAAUGCCAAAGGACUAAUAGAAAUUAUAUAAAAAUUUAUAACUAAACUAAUUUAAAAAAAAAAAUCAAAGAUGAAGAAGAAAGAGAGGAUACAGAAAGCAACAGCAGAUGGCCCCAUUGAAUGUCUACUCAUCACUAGUCCCAUGAUGUGAACUCCAUCUUCCUCUCCACUGAGUCUCUCCUACCCUAUUCUUUUCACCUCUUGCUUUCUAUCUUUUUUCGCUCAAUUAAUUCAUCCUUUCUGCCUUACUCACCAAAAACCAUACAAGCCAAUCUCUCCAUUAAUCAACUUGAUCGCUCGCAGCAGCUCAUGUCUAGUGAAAGAGGAAAAGAUUUGGCACAAGGAUCCAAUGAAGACCAUCAACACUCUUCUGCUGCUGCAACUCCAAGCCGUUAUGAAUCUCAGAAAAGAAGGGAUUGGAAUACUUUUGGUCAGUACUUGAAGAAUCAGAGGCCUCCGGUGGCUCUUUCUCAGUGCAAUUGCAACCAUGUUCUUGACUUCCUCAGGUACCUAGAUCAGUUUGGGAAGACUAAGGUCCAUCUUCAAGGCUGCAUGUUUUAUGGGCAGCCUGAGCCACCGGCUCCUUGUACUUGCCCUCUCAGGCAAGCUUGGGGCAGCCUCGAUGCCCUUAUUGGUAGGCUCCGAGCUGCUUAUGAAGAAAAUGGAGGUCCUCCUGAGAGUAACCCUUUUGCCAGUGGCGCUAUUCGUGUGUAUCUAAGGGAGGUUAGGGACUGUCAAGCUAAGGCAAGAGGUAUUCCUUACAAAAAGAAGAAGAAGAAGCCUAGUUCAAGCAAAGGGAUUGAUGAAUCCAGCUCUGCCAUGCAUUUCUAGUAUCUUACAUGUUCAUCCUUUGCCCUUUUCUCGUUAAAUUACUAAUGCUUUUCUCUCAUUUUUCUUUGUGCCUUAUUGCUUAAGCUGUGAAAGACUCCAAGACAUUUGAUAAAAUAAUUGAUUUUAAUAUGUAUUUCUUUUGAUCUGCAUUAAUCAAACCCUCAAAUCACUUAUAUACAAGCAUCAUACAUAUGUGCAGACUGAAUCUUCAAUUUCUUGCAAGAUCUUAUUUUGUUUACUGCCAAUUUAGAAAACAGCAUUAGGAACCCUAGUUUCAUAUAUGCUCUUCAUAUAUAUUAGAGAUAAAUUAAGUUACUUGAAAAAAAAAAUUUUGAUUAAUUAAUUAGUACCCAUUACUGUAGUCUCAAAGAUAUAUCAAAGGCUAGCAAUGGUGACAAGGAUGUUUAAAUAUAUUUCAAAUAACAUGCAUCCUUUUUAGAUGAACAGACUUCUUGAUCUCUUAUUCAUGGAGAAGCUAGCUCGCUUGCAUAUCAUGCAAAAGCAUUCAUGAUCUAGUUAUAUAUAUAUAUUUGAGGAGUUUUCAUAAAUUUUAUAUAAUAUUAUUAAAUUGCAUGCUAAAUUUUCUCUAUUUAAUUAGCUCUUUGAAGAUUUUGAGGAUUUUCCUUCCCAUGAGAGGUCAAUUGAUAGAUAUCAUUUACUUUAUUUUUAUAGAAAUAAAAUAUGCAAAGGAAUCAAUGAUUGACACCCCCACAAUAACAAAAGUUAAGGUUUUCUUAUUUAUAUGGAUUUCUGUAUGCCAUUUCUGAUGUCAAAUAUCUCCACAAAUCCCAUAUUAGCUAUGUGAAAGUCUCCAACUAUAAGUUAAUUAAUUGAAGAUAAGUCCAUUUUCAACUAAUGCCCCACCAAUUGCUUUUUCUGAAAAUGAGUAUAGUGAAGAAGAUCUCGUUGGCAAGGGCAGAUAUGAAAUUUAUUAUAUUAUUCUUUGUACCUUGUAAGAUUUGCAUGUUGUCCAAUACCAGAUUUUGUGGGACAAUAGGUUUUAUUCUAUUUAACUAAUGCUAAUAAUGCUUCCCCUUUGCAUCUUUGCAUUUGUUGCUAGUGAACUUUUGCUGGGUCAUCUCAGAUUGGAUGAUUUUCAUAUAUAUAUAUGUGCUCCUCAAAAGAAUACAUCUUCUGUUGGUAGCUACAACCUCAAAUCUUCUUGUCUCUAUGGAGAGAGAGAGAAUCAAUUUCUAAAGGUCUCUACAUGGACCUGCAUAAAGGAGAUAUUAACAAAAUGCUUCUGCUUCUAUCUCCCAUGUUUCUUAUAUUUCUGGACCAAAACUCAUGAGCAAGCAGCAAAAUCACACUAGGGUUUCUUAUUACAGUAUACCCUCUUGCUUGAACAAGCUCAAACACUCGAUGGUUUAGUUAAAUUUUGUCUUUUUUAUUUUUAUAUACUUGAUCAAAACCAGAGACAAGUAAGCUAAUAUAUAGGGUUUCUACUCAUGUUUCAUUCUUGCAGGAUCGAGCUUGUUGUUGGAGAAUCAAAGUACUGAAAGAAGUUAAAGGGAGUUAUUUUCUUUGCUACCCAAUUGUCUAAGAUGAUGAAGGGAGGUUAUAACUUGAGCUGAUAAUUUCAAGAACUACUAGCUCUUCUCUCUCGAGCUGUUCCAGUGAUCGAUAUCAGUCUCUCCCUUUGUUUCCUGAAUUUGUAAGCUUGCUUUUAAAUUAGCAGAUCUAUCUUUACGUUGUGCAUUAAUUAUGUGCCACUGAAGUUUUCUCAACUGUAAAAUAAUAUGAUUAAAAUGCAUAUAUUAUAUUUUUAUCACUUCUUGUUAAAAAUACAUUUACGUAUUAUUUUAUAUUAACCCAUCGAGUAUUUGAUAAAUCAACUCAAUAAAUUUGUUCUUUUUUUUUUUUUUCCUUAAACUUUCAGAAAUAUGUAAAUAUUGCUUUAUAAAGUUGAUAGCAAAUAUCUAGUAAAUCAUAGAAUAGAGAUUGAAGGAAUCAUAGAUUGUCAUGACUUGUGUAGGCCUUACUAUCUGGGCAGGGAAUAUAUGAAUAAUACAAAUAUACAAUCAGGUGAGAGCCAGCAGGAGAUCUCGCUCUAUAUAUAUGUCAUCAGAGAAAUAAUGCCUGCACAUAUCACUGAAACAUUUAUGCCCUGCUGGAAAUUCUAUAUCGUAAGCAUCCAUAUAUAAAAACAAACCAGAUCGUUCAUCUAUAUAUGCUUUUUGUUUUUUAUUUAUAUAUAUUGUAUAUCUGAUUUGUAGAAUUAAGGCUAAAUAAUUUUGGGAAUAUUAAUUAUUUUGGUUGGACUUUGGAAUAAAGUUUUAAUUCAUAAUGUUCAAGAUUUUGUCUACAAAGCAUCCAUCUAAUCAUAUGCGCAGUCAUAAUCUCAAAAGAUAAGUUAAUAAGAUAAUAUAAACAAAACUUCUGUAAAUUUAUAAUAUUGGAUUUUCUAAUUUCUUAUAUCUGCCUUUUAUUUAAGAAUAAACAAUAAGGAAAAUAAGGAAGCCCUUGUAUUGGCAUUUAGUGCAUCAUCAAUGGCUGGCAGCCACAGCCACAAUCCGUUAAUCAUUGAGUAAUGAUCGCAUAAAUUGUUAGCAUAUGACUGUCCUAAAUGCAACAUCUACUUGGAAUAAUUUUUCCCAAACGAGACAAAGAGUAAGAGCAAUGCUUUGGAGAGAGAGAGAGGGUGGGCACGGAUCUCUUAACUCAAAGAACCUUGAACCAUUACCAUUCUCUUCUCUUCCUUCUUGCUGGUUUCCUUCUUUGCAUUCAAUCUGACGCAAACAACAGAGCACGGAAACGGAGAAUGUUGGGUAUAGAAGGAAGGAGCGCGUAGCAUUGAUGGCCAUUGUCGUGGUUGCUUCACUCGCCGUAGCUUGUUUGCUUGUGGCUUUUAGCUAUUACUGCUAUAUGCUUGACAAGCUCUCCAAACGCCCUGACAACCACACGAGUAAGUUGGAUUUUUACCCUUGUUGUUGCUAUGUGCUGAUUUGUAUGCGGCUGCUGAAAAUGGGAGGGAAUUAAUUAUUUGAUUGCGGAAAAUGAGUGCGAAAAAGAAAGAGAUUAAUUGUUUGGCUGCCAAGAAUGUGUGGAAGUGGAAAGAGAAGAAUGAUAUAUAUUUUGAACUUUAUGAUUACUAACUCCCCAUUCCACCUUUCUGUAUUCUUAUUUGUAAUUAUGGAUUCCGCAAGCUACUUGAACAUCUGGAAAGUGACGCUUCGCUUCGGCACUUUUGGAAAAAUUUUCUGUAUUUUUCUUCAAUAUUUGUGACUCUCAAGAAAGUUAGUCAGAAAAGUAAAAAAAUAAGUAUUUUUAAAUAUAUGACUUUCUUCCUUCAAAAGUGAAAAGAAAAAAAAAUUCUUUCCAUUCCACAAUUUCUUAAUAUGUCAUUGCCUUAUAUAUAUAUAUAUAAUUACCUUGUUUUUCAGCUUUUUAGUACCAAACCUCUAACUUGCAGUGAAAUUCAAGAUCAAGGAGAAGAGGAAUUUAGGUUUGAUAUCUAUAUAUUCGACAAUAAAAUUUAUUAAUUAAAUUAUAGAUAAAGUGAUUAUUAAAAUAAAUUAUUUUCUAUUUAUUGAUUAUUUAAAAUAUUAAUGAUGAAAUUAUGUAUUAUUAAAUAAUAGAAAAUUUGAUUCAGCAAAUACCCUUUUCAGGUUGGUGUUAGCUCAUCCUUUUAAUUCCCUUGAAAUUAAGUAAAGAUGACAAUUUGUACGUGUCACUGUCAGCACUUGUGCAUAAGCAAAUAUGCAUGUUUUUGUGAGUGCGAGGUUCUCAAAUUUCUGCCUGUUCUUUCUCCAACUCUCAUCUUUGUUCACUGACCUAUAAGGGGUGAGUUAUUUCCUUUUCUCUUUUUCUCUUCCUGUUUUGACAUUAGUAGAAAUUUGCAAGAGUUGAGACAUUUAAAUGAAAUAUAAAGAUUAUGCUACUUAUUAUUAAUACUUGUUAUGCUGCAAUUUUUUUUUUCUCAAAAGUAGUGAAACAUAGGGAUGUAAGAGGUGGAAAAAUCAAAAUUACUAUAAAAUCCUUCAUCCACUAAAAAGCGAAAGAAGAAAUCAGAAUUUGCGUAAAAGUACAAGAAAGAAGAAAAUUUGUGCUUUCCUUUUCUCCUCAAAUUGGAGAGAAAAUAUUUUGGGCCCCAUGAGAAUAUUUCGCCAUUACAUAUCCAAUCCCUUGCCUUUCUCUAGGCUUUCUAGACAAUGAAAAAUCAAUUCCCCUCCCCCUUUCACCGCUUCUCUUUGUUUCCUCAUUUUCCCCUUCAUUCCCAAACAAGCUGUUAUUGUUAUAUGAGAUGUCAACUGAAAUCUAUUUUACAUUCCUUUGUUCAUUGUACGAAUCCUGCCAGUUUUUCCUAUUCCAUGUAAAAACAUAUGAAAUGUGUGUAUUCUGCUAGAAACUUGCUGAUGUUUUCAUGACUUCUACAUAAUGCAGACAGCCAUGAAUUUUUGCUGAAUCCCUAAGAUUAAAACAAGAGCAGAAAAAUUUUAGAUAUAACUGAAUUUUAUGGCGCAAUUUUGUGCAUUGAAAUGCUAAUGAACAUUUCUAAUUUUCGGAUGCUCCAUAUUUUACCAGCCUUGAGAUCAGGACUCAAGCUCAAGUCAAAUUUCAUCUUGCAAGCUCAAGCUUGGCUCAUCAUCAAAAAACGGAUCAAGCUCAAACUAAUGCCUUGCACUUGAGAUUGGAAAUGCAGAUCAAAAUGCCUUGCACUUGAUAUUGACAGGGAAACACGUACGUUUGCGAAUUGCCCUUGAAGCCGCCAAGGGCUUAGAAUAUUUGCAUGAACAUGUCAGUCCUCCAGUGGUUUAUAGAGAUUUCAAGAGCAGCGACAUCCACUUGGACAAAAAUUUCCACGCCAAGGUUUCUUAUUUUGGACUGGCCAAGCUUGGACCUGACAGCUGGUGGACAUGUCUCAACUCGAGUGUUGGGCCAAGGGAUACGUUGCCCCUGAGUAUGAUCCACUGAAGUUUUCAGAGGCUUUUACGUGUUCUGCCAUAGAUAUAGUACAUCACUGCAUUUGGAGGCAAGGAUUUCAAAUGAAUGAUUUGAGCAUGAAACCCAAUUUUCAUAUGCUUAGGUCAAUUAUGUGAUUGAAAACAUUUGAGCUGGAUUUGAAAUUACAACUUUUAUUGGCAUUUCAAACCCACAUUGAAUCAGGAUUGUGAAUCAAAUUAAUCAAAUAAUUUAUGCAUUGUCAAAUUCGAAUAUCUCAAUUAAAUUCCUCCAGUCCAAAGAAAAUGUCAUUUUGUUAUUUUGAUGCCAAUCACACUCGUGUGUCAUUUCUAUAUUUAACUUUUUUUUUUAAUUAUUAUUCUGCUGCACAAGUGUGCAAGAACUGGGAAUUUAGCGACAAAAUCAGAUGCCUACAGUUAUGGGGUUGCUCACGGGCAGAGUUCUUGUAGAUUUGCAUAGACUUUUGGAGAAGGUGUCUCGUGUCUUGUGUGGGAACCUUGUCUGUUCUCAGUAAAUGAAACAACUGUAACUAGUUCAUUUGUUGGUGCAACAUUUAAUUAUCUUUACGGUUAGGACUUGAUCUACUUUAUAUGAGCUUUAUAAUUGCGUUUGAUGUUCACAUUUCCUUCAUUUAUUUGUUUGUGAAAUAGGUGCUGGCCCAGUUGACAGAUAGAGAGAAAGGUGGUGCAAAUUAUGGAUCCAGCACUGGGAGGGUCAAUACUCAAUGAAAGAGGUUAUUCAGGUGGGGUACAAUUGAUGCAAGUUGUGCACAGCCAGAGGCUGAUUAUAGCCUAGUAAUGGCAGAUGCUAUGCAGUCACUAGCCCACUGGUAGAGACUCAACGGGCAACGUAGAAGAUGGGAAGCUACUCUUAGCUUCUAUCUAUGCAGCCAGGGGCCAGGUUCCCUUCAUCACAAGACUCUGGCAGAACAAGUGCUUGAAACUGAUGAAACCAAGUUAGUCACCUGCAUGUCUUGUACUUGGUGUAGCUAUCUUGGAUUUUAGCACACUACAUCCUUAUAUAUCUAUCUAUAUAUGUAUAUUUUGUAUAUAAAUAAUAGGCAAAGCGCUGUCGUUUUUUACCAAGCACUUAGCAUUUGAAAGCCCUAUGAAGAUACUCCAUGAGAGAACUUGAUCCCCGAAAAUUGGGAUCAAGAUGUUCUAUUUUGGGCCAUCACAAUUCGACCACCUGUAGAAAGAUUAAUUGAUUUAAUACUAAGAGCUUGCUUGCAAAAUAGAAUUUUAUAUGUACAAUUCAAUUAAUUUUUUUAAUUGAUUCGUGUGUUUUAAAUUGUUGUUUUUAUUUUAAAAUAAAUAACUAUUGAAUUAUUAUUAUUAUUAUUUUUAUUAUUUGAGAAAAUCAAAAAUAGAAAAAUAAUACCAUAGAUUACAAUUUACAAUCUUAAUCGUUCAUAAGUGUAUUUAUGAUUUUAUAACAAAUAUAUAAUAAGAACAAUAAUAUAGAAUCAAUUAUUUAUGUAAAACAUAACAAUUAAAUUUCGAUUAAAAAGUCAGAUAAUAGUUUUAUUAAUUUAUGUGUUAUUUAUUAACGCUACUAAUGAAAAUUCAAAAUUUUUUAAUAUUGAUUAAAAUAAGUUUAAUAAUCAUUUGAAAUGCAAAAAAAAAAAAAAAAUCAGCAUGUGUUUUUUUUUCAAGUGGGUAUUUUAUAAUUAGUCAACAAAACAAAAAAUAAGAAAUAAAUAAAAAACUAAAAAGAGUGAAAGAAAAAAAAGGGCAGGGGUUGUUUCACGCGGACGAAGGUGUGGAUGUUGGUGAGCCAACCCCUAACGCCAGCUGGCUGUCGGAGAGAGUUCCCAGAUACCCCGCUUUCAUGCACGUGACUCUCCGCCCUCUCACCAAAUAAAACCCUUUUGCUUUCCUCAUUUUUUUUUUUUCUAAAAAAAACUCAUUUCUUCUUUUACUUAAUUAAUUAUAAGCAUAUAUAUAAAUUUUUAGAACUAAGAAUGAAAAUUGAUAAAUAAACAGCGAAAAUAAAAUAUAGACAUCCUUCAAUUUUUUCCUUCCGAAGUACAUUGAUUCUUAAGCAUUUGGCACUUUUGUUCUACUAAAAUAAAAAUUUAAUGAAUAAAUUAAUAUUUUAAUUUUUAGUAUAAUAAAUUAUGUUUGAAUUUAUAUAGUUAAAUUUUUUAUUCUGAAAAAUAAUUGUAUAAAUAUUUUAUUAUGUUAAAAUUAAAUGUUCUAUAUUACAAUAAUAUAGAAAUCAAACAAGAAUUUAAAAAUAAUAUUUUUAGUAUUUCAAAAUAAAUUUUAAGUUAAAAAACUAUCUAAAAUUUUCUCAAAAUCGCGUAUUCUUAAAAAUAUAAAUAUGAAUUUAAAAUUUUAAAAAUCCUCAAAAAUCUCUAACUAUUUUAUAAAACUUCAAAUUAGGACUUAAAUUAAAUAUUCUGCAACAAUUCUCACGUCUUAUUAAAAUACAAUAAUAAAUAGUAACGCACAAGAAAAAGAAAAAUAUUAAUUAAUAAAUCGAAUCCAUCUCCCUCUCUUUCUCAAUUCCUUGGUACUAUCCCCUGCCAUUCUCUCUCUCUCUCUCUUUCUCUCUCUUUUCUGUCUAUCUCUAUAUUUUACGUAGGGAACGUAUUUAUUAUACUUUUUUAAUCGGAAGAGAUGGAAGAGUGAUGUAGGGAUGAGUCGUAUUUGAGAUUCAAAUGGUAUUGGCUGGAGGACGAGCUUGGGAUUCUAAUUCUUGGAUCUGCUGGUGGUAACUCUUCUUUUCUCUCCUGCUUGAUCCUUCUUCGUUUUUCCUAGAUUCUUUUAGGUUCAAAUUUUGUCUUUUUUUUUUAUUAUUGCACCAAAUCAUGCUGGCAAUUAGGGUUCGUUUGUGAUUUGAUUCUUUGGAAAUUUCUGUGAACUGAUUUUGUUUCUUUUUCAUUUACAAUCCAGAGAAAUGGUUGGGCUGUGUACGUAUAAUAUAGGAAUAGUUUUAGCUCAUUUGAAGUGGCUUAGGUGAAGUGUUGUGCAGCUGCGUUCUUUUGUAAUGAAGAGUUGGAUCUAUUUUAAUAUUUUAUUACUUUAUUUGAAUUAUACUAAUUUACUAGCUCUAGUGGCAUUUGAUUAGGCUUGCUAAUUAGAUAUCCUUGUAAGAGAAUAAGGAUGUGUCUCUUAGAUUAAAUAAAUGCUCAGGGUUUAUGGUGUUGUACACAGUUGUCUUGGAUCGAAUUGUAAGGCUAUAUUGAUCUGUUUUUUGAGAGAGUUUGGUUAACAUUUCACUUUGAUGGAUGGAGGAGAUGGUCUAUAUUUAGUUGGAAAUGAUUGCAUAGGUUGGUUAUUUUGAAGACAAAUCAUAUAUCUGUGGAUAAUGGAGUUGACGCUAGCUUCAUUGUCAAGUGUGCCAAGGGAAGCUUGUUGAGGAUUUUAUAUUCGGACUCAAAAUGCAAAUAAUAAUUUCAUAAUGCAUUGGAGGAUAAGGGUUGAUCUUAGCAAUUUCUUUUAAUGCAGCCUUUUUACAUAGGUUCGAUUAAGUACUCACACAGGUACUUGUAGAUGUAGUUUCAACUACUGGUUAUUUAUCAAAUACAUAACAUGAAAACAACUUAAGUGUUGCUAUUUUUCUUCAGUACUUUUUCUUGCAUUGUGGUUGAAGUGCUUAUGCACUAAUUGGAUAGUAGCUCACUAGUAGAGUGUCCGUCUCAUAGUAAAUCAAGGGCUUUGUACUUUUCCUUUCAAUUAAAGAAAAAUGCACAAAAAUUGGUACUCGUGGACAGUUGCUUAUGUUGGUCAUUAAAGAUGAAACUGAAAUAAAUUUUGAGGGUUUUUAAUCUGAACUUUGGCAAUGUCAAUGUGCAUGAUUAAGUGUAAUUAAAAUGAUAAUAACAUGUGUGUGGCCCUUUUAAGUUUUUUUAUAAUUUGAGUGAUGAAAUCCCUAUUUAAUCUUAGUUAGAUCAUAAAAUAGAGAGCACGGUCUUACUCCAUUUAUUUGUUUUAUUGCACUUGUUGAGAGAACUAAUGUCUUUUGCUUCUUGAAAUCCUUUCUGAUAUGUGUUUAGUGGCAGUAAGCGUCUGGUUGGCUAUAAAUUUAACUCUCUUGAUGUGUAGUCUACUCUGUAUUUGUAUUCAUUUCUGGAAAGGUUGAUGUCCCCGUGCAUAAAGAUAUCUCUAAUUUGAUUUCAGUCUUGGUUUUGUAGGUUAGAUGGCCUCCAGCUUAUACAAGUUGGAGCAGAAGAGGUUUCUUGUAAGGUUCUUAGUUCUCUAAGAAUUAUUUCUUUAUUGAGAAGAUCUUUAUGGCGUGAGGAUUGGAGGCCGAAAUGGUUUUACAUCCAACAUAUUUAAGAACAUGGAAGAAAUGCAAGAUGACUCGGGGCCAACAGAACAAGGGCCUUCUAAUUCUAUGUGGUGGGGUUCUGAUUUUAUGGAGAAAUUUGAAUCUGUUUCUUUGCUUUCACAAGAAGAGAGUUUGAAUCAUAAGGAAUCACCUAGAAAUUAUGAGGAAGAUGGUUUGUCUUCACAGACUGCAUCACAAAUUCUUUGGAGCACUGGGAUGCUUUCUGAACGAAUUCCAAAUGGUUUCUACUCUGUCAUGCCGGUGAGGACUCAUAAUACCAAUUUUAUCUCAUUGAUCGUGCAUAUGAACUUUUGCAGGAUUAUGAGUUAUCUGAGUUAUUCUUAAGUGACAUUGGUGUGAAGAAAAUAAUUGAGUUGUGUUCUCUCUGUUAAAUCGGUUUAUGUACACUGAUAAUUAAUGAUUAUUGUUUAGAAUGAUUCCAAAUUUUUUAUCUUCUUUUUCACUUUGCAUGCGGACAUGUAUAAUGAUUUUACUUCUCUCUCUCUUUCUCUCUCACUCACUCAUAUUUUAUCAUUGAGUUAGCUGAUAGUAUGACCUAAUUCCAAACAUUUUGAUUUGUCUUCUUGAUUGAAUCAUGUAGAAACACUGGCAUGAAUUUAUGGAUAAUUCUUGCUUUUCGUUAAGAAGCAGCACAAAAAUUGGACUGGUGGGUUUUCCCAGGAUAGAUCUUCUUAAAAGUUUCAGCUCAGAUGCUCAAUCUAGCUUUACAAAUAUGUUCUAUUUUCUCAUUUAAAGAAUAAAUAAAGUUCUGAUUUGGCAAGGGAGUUGUGGUUCAGUUACUUUGUGGAUGACUAUAAAAAUUGUGGAAGGUCAAGAUUCACAUCUUUAUUUUUGCUUUCAUGACAGGACCAACUAGAAAUACUGGCACAAAAUUCAUAGAUAGUCUUGUUUUUUGUGAAUAAAUAACUUGCAGGAUGAAGUUGACCUUAUUCAUUUCAGACACAUAAUCCAGUUCUCCAAAUAAUUUAUAUCUUCCCAUUUAUAAAGUAAAAAGGUCUCAUGUUAUGUGUUCUUGCAAUUUUUUUGAACCUUUUAAUUUUGACGAUUUGUCUUGAUCUCAAGAUUUAGUUGCAGUUAUUUCCGAUCAGUCAAACUUGAAGUACAAUCAAUCUAUAGAAGUGAAUGAUUAUAUCAUGGGAAAGGACUUGCUCUUAGUUUUUGGUAAUAAAAUGUUAUAUUAUUUUUCAAGUUUGACCAAUUGGAUAGGAUUGCUACUGAGUUUUGAAUUCAGAACAAAAUUGCAGAUAUGAGCUAAGGUUGAAUUUUUCUUUUAACCAUUAUGCCAAUAAAGAAAGUGAAGGCUUAAAGUUCUGAAUUGGCAAUAGACUUGCUGGUUAGUCAAACUGUGGACAAGUACAAAAAUUACAGAAUUGUGGAAGGCCAAGGUUUUGUUUGGGGUCAAAUUGAAAGUUAGUUAGCAGUGAGGGUUUUUUUUUUUUUAUAUAUGGAUCUGCUUUACUGACUUGAAAUCUAGACAAUGUCAAAAGGUGUUAAAUACUGGCUUUGGAUUAGAUAUUGAGGAUUGUGUGGAGGUUAAUUGUAAGUUGGAUGUUAAAUAACUGCUAGGUCAUAUGUGGAUGGUCAAGGCUUUAUAUUUCUUUGGAAAGGGAUAGGGUGGGAUAGGCUAUGAUUCAAUCUCUUCAUCCUGGACUCCUUGGAUAGCUUGCUUUGUGAUAAGGGAGAAGCCCUUAACAAGAAAUGAGAUGAGAAGGGUAGGGAUUCCAGUGAAAGAAGGAAGAAGAAAAGAGAGAAGAAUCUGAGAGAAAGGUGAGAUUGUAUUUUUCUAUUCACUUUUAACAUGCCUUACAGACUAAUUCUCUCUCAAUAUAGAGCUAUGGUUGUUAUAUCUAACAACUGGUACGACUGUAUAACUAAUCCAGCUCAUACCCUCACAUUCUAACCAACAUCCCUUACCCUACUUAUUUACUAUUACUGCUGCUGUAACUUCUGGACCCUUCUUCUUAUGCCACUUUCUCCUCUGGUAUGUGACUUUAGUUGGCGCCAUUACUUAUAGUAGAGGAAUUAAGAAUUACUAAGUGUAAUUGGACACUUGUAGAUUCUCAUUAUGAGAAAGAAGGGAGUUUUUGAUAACUUGUACUUUCAUUCUAGUAAUUAUCAUUUCAAAGUGGUUGACAUGGGAGCUCCUCUUAGUGUUCCAGUUGGUGGUGGUGUGGCUCUAGAACAAAAUUUUUGCAUUCACAAUGAGAUUGAUAGUCUAUCAGUGUUUGUCCUCUUGUAGGAUUUCCUUCCCUUGCAUUGUUGAAAACUAUAAUGGAUGUAAUGGUGUGCCGUCAUUUAUUCAUUCCUCUAUGUUCACAUUCUGAAAGAGAACAGACAUUAUGGAUGCGUGGCUUGUUCUAAGUUAUAUUUCUCUUCCCACCUUAACCUAUUUUAAUUGGAUAUCUACUUGAUCUGAAGAAUUGAUUUCACUUGAUUGUUUUCUAAUGUUUUGUGAUUGUGGACAGGAUAAAAGGCUAAAAGAGCUCUUUGAUAGUAUUCCAACUUUAGAUGAGCUUCGUGCUUUGGAUGGUGAGGGUAUCAAGGCUGAUAUCAUUUUUGUGGAUGCAAAGAAAGAUAAAAAAUUAUCUAUGCUGAAGCAGUUGAUUGGGGCAUUAGUCAAAGGAUUGAACUCGAAUCCAGCUGCAAUGAUAAAAAAGAUUGCUGGAUUGGUGAGAACUUUUAUAACUUUGUGUUCUAAGAUUAUGUAAAUUGAAGUUCAUGUAGCUGCUUAUUUAAAUAUACUUGUGUUUUUACUGUUGUGCAAUUUUACUACAAUAAAAAAUUGAUCACGGUAAGGAAUUCCUUUAUGUUAAUGUCUGCAAUUGCCUAAGUGUGUGUCUGCUUUGAUCAUAAUAGAUCUCAACUUUCUUCUUUAAUUUUCACUUAUAAUUAGUGAAAACUUAAGAAAAGAACCUGUUGAUAAUAGAAUAUAUUUUUUUUCCUAAUGGUAAAAACAAUGGAACCUAUAUUGAAACUAACACGCUUUAGGACUUGUUUUGCACUUAUCUCAAAAAAUGUUAGUACUAAGUAACCCCUUUUGGCAAGCAAUUAAGUUAUAAGAUGAACUUGAGAAUCUUUAUUUUAAAGCCAAUUUAGGGAUUAAAUACUACUAUCCAUUUUUUAAAUUCCCGUUUGCGAAAUUUCAAUUAUUUUAAAGUUGUAUUUUUCUUCCUUUUCUCCCCCUAUUAUCUUAUUUACAGGUGUCUGAUUUUUAUAAAAGAGCAAAUGUGGAAAGUCCAGCAAAAGCUGCACUGGAAGAAACCUCCCACAUGUUUGACAAUCGAGGUGUUCAGUUACUUGGACAAAUAAAGCAUGGCUCUUGCCGUCCUCGAGCAAUCUUGUUUAAAGUUUUAGCUGAUAGUGUAGGUCUUGAAAGUAGGCUUAUGGUGGUAAGUUUUAACUUCACUUGGUGGGUUAAAUUGUGCAUUAUUCUUCUUUUGUUCUUUAUUAUUAUUAAGUUCUCUCUCUCUCUCUCUCUCUCCCUCUCCCUCUCUCUCUCCCAUGAAAUUCCAUAUAUAGAAAGAAUCUGCAAUCUAUACAAUUUGUGACUUGUAAAUCAUAUAUGAUAUCCAAAAAUCGAUGUUACAGUAUCUUCUUUUCUUUUACAUUUUGAAAAUUAGGGAUUACCAAAUGAUGGAACUGCUGAGUGCACGGACUCAUACAAGCACAUUUCUGUGAUAGUUGUGUUAAAUUCUGUGGAACUACUGGUUGAUCUUAUGCGAUUUCCUGGUCAGUUAAUACCUCGGUCAACCAGGGCAAUUUUUCUGACCCAUAUUUCAGCUGCUGGGGAGAGUGAUUCUGCCGAAAAUGAUUCUUGUGAUUCACCACUAGAACCAAACAGUCCUCUCUGUGGGUUUUCAGAGAGAGUGGAUCAUGACAGGUUAGCAGAUGGUGUUGAAUCAUAUUUUAAACCUAUAUCAAAUUAUUUUCUUUGUUAGUAUGCAUUCUGAAGCUGCUAAUGUUAAUAUGUCUUUCUCUCUUUCUCUAACUCUUUUUUUUUUCUCCCACAGUGCUGAAAAGGAUGAGAGCCUUCAGUUCCAUCGGAAGUUAGAGGCAGCUGCAAAUGUUUCAGGUCCUGCGUUGCGAAAUAUGAUGUUGCGAUCUACUACCUGUAUUGACAGAAAAUUGAAGUAAUAUUGGAAUUCAUUUUUUGAGAUUUCCUUGUUUCUAUUAUGGCUUUUGGAUGAUAUUUUUCCUUCUUUUCUUUCGUUUAAUUUUUUAAUUUGAUUUCGAUCAUAAUAUACUGUUUCUGUUCUUCCUUCCUCACCCAGCUUAUCACACAGUGAGCCCAAUAUUGCAAAUAACUUUUGGAGACGUAGCCGGAAAAAGGUUAUUGCUGAACAGCGGACUGCUAGUUCAAGGUUUUUUUUUUAAAAACCCUUUUUGUAUUGCAUAUGGAUUGACAUUUGUGUGGUGUUUAAAGUGUGAUAUAUUGUGAUAGUUAUCUUCUUAUUCUUGCUGGGGCAUAUAUCCACUUCUGUUUCACAUGCUGGCGUGCAGUUUUAUUGACUAUAGAGCUGUAAUAUUUUAUUGUCACAUAAAUGUUUUCUGAGUUUUUAACGAAACCGAAACACUAUCAGAGUGAUUUUGAUGAUACAAGUUGAAUUUAUUGGCCAUAAUGAAUUUGAUAAGUUCAAUGAUUUAAGUGAUUUAAUCUUAAAUUUACUUCUAAAAGCAUCUAGUAUUUGUCCUGGAAUGGAAUACUUAAGUUUGAAAUGAACUAUUAUAAGCUGGUUUUGUAGUCCAGAGCAUCCUUCAUUUCGAGCACGUGGACGGUCCAUGUUAAGUGGUGACAGGCACUCAAUUAGAGAUUAUGCUGAUGAUGAAGUUGCAUCAAGGUGCUUGCCUGUUUGAUCCUAUUACUUAAAUGCAAGGAACACUAUAUUAUUUCACAAUUUAUGGUUAUGUGGGAUAAAUUAUUUUAGGGGCUUUGUCUUAUCAUUUAUUUGUUAUUGCAAGAUGUGCCUGUGUUGAAUUCGCUAAAUUGUUCUGGACUAUAAUAGUUGGUAGUUGCUCCUGUCUAGUUUCAUGGCUGGCUCUUUUUUGUUUUCCGACAAUUUAUCUUAAAUCUAAGAACUUCUUUAAUAUAUAUUUGUAGCUACAAAUCAGAGGGUGCAUCGACAUCAGAAGCUCGUAGAAUAAGGAGAAGAAGCAUUAGCAUGACCCCAGAGGUUGGUGAUGACAUUGUAAGGUUGGUGCAUGUUUCAUUUCGUGUUAACCUUAAAUUUAUUUUUGAAAUUCCUCCCCCCCACCAUCCUCUUUUUUUUUUUUUUGCCGGGGAGGGGGGGGGGUGUUCAAUUGGGCAAUUGGGAUGCAUAUUUCCGCUCAAAAUAUAUGCCAACUUUUCAUUAUAGAUGGGAUAGGAAAUGUUUUGGCAUCUAUUUACCUUCAUUAAAAUUUUAAGUUAUCGUUAUGGUACAAGGCACCACUGAAGGCUUCUCUCCAAAUUAUUGCUGUAGUAGACUCUAUUUUUCUUCAACAUCUGUUCAGCAUUUUAGCCCCCUCCACCUCCUCCUUUUUCUUUAUUUUUCUUGCUAUUUGGAAAUGAAAAUAAAAUAUAUCCAAUUGCAAAUUUAACAGAACGUGGGAUGAAGGAGGUGUAAGAAUAGAUUUAGCAGAGGUCUUUGUUGUGAUAAUUUUCUUACCGUGUCAUACAAAAUUGAUAGGAAUAUAUAUACAUACAUAUAUAUUGGUUGAGGGAUGCUUUUAAAGGGAAGGGGAAAAGCCUAGGACUGAAUUGAAGGGGAUAUUGCUCAUAGAAAAGAACUGAAGCAGCAUGCUUGAAAUGCAGCAUGAGCAUGACUAUGAUGAUGUGCUCAUAAAAUCCUUGUUUAGCUAGAAAGGUGAGUUUAGCCGGAUAAUAAUCAGGCUAUGCAUAGAAAUUUUCAUACGUAACUGAGAUGAGAAUAUUUAAGAAUGAUGUUGAAGUAUAAUAAUGGACUAGAUAAUGGGUAAAGGGGUUGGCAUCUAUUGGAAUUGUUAAAUCUCACAUCAGUUUGGAAUAGUAGUCAUGUGCCCUUUACAAGAGCCUUGGGCACUCCUUUUGGGUGAGUUAGGGUUGACCCAAAUCUUAGGCCUCCUCAAAGUAUUUCUUGCUGCAGUUUAUUCCUGAGCGUGAGUGGAAUGUUGAAUCCGGUUUUGGAUAGGGGUCAUGUAGCCCUUGUAAGGGUCCUGCGCACUCCUUCCCUAACCUUGAGCUAACUUUUGGGGUGAGUUAGGCAAAAAACAAGAAAGUGGUUGUUGCAGACUUGCAGUGCUGGUGAUACUUCUCAUCGAGAUUUUAGUGAGGAUCAGAUCAGACGUGGGCAGCCUUCCCUGUGCUUUGCAAGGAGGUUCUUUCUGUUAUUUUAACCUGUGACCUCAAGUCAUAAUGAAACAAUCUUAUUGUUGCACUAAGGUUCACCUCGAGAUUCGAGGAAAAGAAAGAAAGAAAAAUGAAUCAGUACAUUGAAGAGGUAAAAAUUUUAGUGUAACAAUUAACAGAAAGUUUGGUCCUAGCUAAAUGAUUGAAAAGGUUCCACUUGCUGGCCCCGACUAGUUGGUCUUGGGAGUUGGAGUGUUGAAAAUUUUGAAUUUUGUUCAUAUUUAGAUUCCUAGUCUACUACUUAUCAAUCACUCCAUUUGCUGGUGCCUAAGCAUGCAUCAGUUGUCACUUGCUGAAUAGGUGAGUUCCCAAUUCUUUUUGGGUCCAACCAGAAUGCAAAAACAUGUGCUGUCUGUAUUAAUUAUAUCUCAAUUUGGACAAGAAGCAUUGUUCAUCAACCAUCUUCUCUCCUUUUAAACCUUUUCUAUGAGAUUUUCCCUAAAAGAUCCAUCCAGAGGAUCUUUUUCCUUGUUUAUGUUUUUGUUAUAGUCAAUUUGAAGCAGUUUGUAAACCAGUUCUUUCCACUUUCUAAAUGCUAAGAUACUUAGGACAGAAAGUGUGUGCAUAUGUAUCUAUGGGCCCAUAAAUUGGUUUUGAGUCCUGUACAAUGAUAAUGUAAUCCUGCUGCUUGGUGUUUCUCCUUUAUUUCUUGACAGAACCUGCUCAAGUGUGGAUUUGCUUAGUUCUGAAAAAAAUUCAGAUUUCUUCUUAUGUGUGAAGAUUAUUCAGGAUAUCAUGAAUUAUUUCAGGGCUGUGCGUGCAAUGAAUGAAUCUUUGAAGCAAAAUCGAAUUUUAAGGCAGCGAGGUGAUGAUGGGUCUUUUGCAAACUCUCCAGAUGACAAGGACAAUGGCCCGGAUCUCCAGAAAAAUGUAUGUUUCUCUUGUAAUUACAAAACUACAUUACAAUACUGGGUGUUAUCUUCGGCAUUGCAUAAAGCUUGUUCUAUGCAGCAUAGUUCAUGUGGAUCUUAUAUUUAUGCAGACAAAGUCUCUGCAUUCUGCAUCCACUAAGUACACUGCAAUUUGGUUUGGUUAUCAUUACACUUUUUAGCAAGACUACAUUGUUAAAUUUGUGCUUGAUAUGGAAUCUAAGAUAAGUACAUGGAUGCCCAAAUGAGGUAGCAUAUGCACACGACUUUUUAUCAUCUAUAUGUUAUGGCCUGGGCUAUCCGCUGCGACAGUAAGAUGAUAUAUGGAAAUCUUCUCGUGGAAACUCCCUGCAAGGCAAUUAUGGAUAUAUGGUCAUGAGACCAGGGGAUAUUUUUUGAAACAUAGGAUAUGAUAUGAGUUGGCAUAUCUAAUAAAUAUUUUCUAUAUGAUUGUGAUACUUUUUUGUGGUAACAUCAAAACAUAGUUGAAUCGGUAAAUUGGGACAUAACAUCUUUUUCUCAUUGCAACGAAUGUCUUUGACAGCUGGGAAAAUGAGGAGGAAGAGAAGGGGAGAGGGGAGGAUUUUUGUGACUUCUGAGGUGCAUGGGCAGUUCUUUUUUUUUCUUCAUUGCUUCAUUGUUAAUAAAUUAGUCAAUGGCAUCCCAUCAAAUUAGUUGCCAUUUUUUUGUAAUGCAUUUGAAAGAACUUUAGGAGGCAGAAAGAUGGGAAGAGUUACAGUGAGGUGCUUAUGAUGCUCUUGGGAUGUUUUGAUAGAUAGAAAUGCUGAAUCCUUUAUGACCAUGUUUUGGAAUGCUUGGUUGGACUGAAUUACAGGAAUUUUAAAGGAGUAUCUUUGAUUGUUGGCCCAGUUACUUUUGUAUGCAAUAGAUUCAUGGUGUCUUUUGUGGGAAUAAAGGAAACAACGAUACAGCACCGCAAUGACAAAGGGCAGAAUGAGAGCUUGUGUUCCAUAGAGUGAAAUGGUGCGGAUAAAAAGUUAAAGAAACGGUGCGGAUUGGGAAAGCAGAAAAUGUUGCAUUUCAGAAUUUAUUUAUGUGAAGUAGGAAAGUUCAAGAUUGUUCUAGAAGUCUCUGUUUGUUAGGAGUUAGUUAUAACAAACUGUAGUUCCCGCUUGUCCCUCUGUAUACAUAUAAUCAUUUUCAUCAAUGAGAAAACACUUCUCUUUACAGAACAGUUAUUUCCACAUCUUUACUGUGUUUGACAUUUGCUUCUUUUUCUUUUUGCUUUUAACAAUUUUUUUUCCUUAUGGAAAAAGAGUAUUGAUAGCAAAUAUUUAUUAAAGAUUGGGGACGGGAGUCCUUUCAUUCUAACAGAUUCUAUAUUUCCAGUUUGUUUUCCAGAGUUCCUUGAGUGUUGAAUUUGAAAAGAAAAUGCUUAAUAUAGAUUGUUUUCUGUGCUUGUAUUCUGAGAGUGUGGUAAAGAUAGGUUCCAAAGGAAUCACUUUUCUUUUUGGCUGUUUCUUAAUGAUUGUUACCUCUAGGUUCCAAUAUUUGUUAUACAAGUUACAUUACAUGAAAGUUCUCUAACCUGUGGUUUGAAUAAUCUUUCUAGCUCCUGGUUGUAGUUAACUAUGUUGUGUACCAUUUCAGGUAUCUAAUUUUGAUCUUGAUUGUCAUGAUGAAAUAUCUGGUAGAAGGUCUGCUUUAUAUGCUGUUCAAAGGGACCACAUGAAUUCCCAAAAGGCUAUAUCAUUGCCAUCAUCUCCACAUCAAUAUAGGAGCCAAACAUCGCAAAGAAGAGGACCUUCAGGUUAUGUGACUGAUGAAUUUGUUUCAACAUGGAACAAAGUUCUUGAAUCUCCCAUGUUCAAUAAUAAGGCUCUAUUACCAUUCCAAGAAUGGAACAUUAAUUUCUCAGAAUUAACUGUUGGGACUCGUGUUGGCAUUGGUAAGUUCUCUUCUUUUUUUGAUUAAAAAAAAUUGUUUAUAAUUUUUCUUUUAAUAUUCGUAGCUGAAUUUUUCAGUUUGAAAGUGCUCUUAUUGUACUGCUACAGUUGCAGUCCAAACAUACUACUGUCGGUGCUCUGCUGCAAAAUGCAUUUUAUGCAAGUUUUGUCUUUAAGGACCUCAAACUGUAUGCAGAUGCUUCACGCAGUGGGAAAUGAAAAUUAUCAUUGCCUACUUAUGAGAAUGAAUGGGCUGAAAAAAUGGAAUGAUAAUACUUGUGUGACCAAACGUAAUUAAAACUGUAUUUGUGGUUAACGAAUAGUCAUGGAGCUUUAAUUUUGUCCUCUUGGAGUGUAGACAGUUCAUUUUUUUACUCCACUUUCUAAAAACUGUCCUGUUGAUUGAGUUUCUUUUGCGGCAUCUAUAGGGUUUUUCGGGGAAGUUUUUCGUGGUGUAUGGAAUGGAACAGAUGUUGCAAUCAAAGUUUUUCUAGAGCAAGAUCUAACUGCUGAAAACAUGGAGGACUUUUGCAAUGAGAUAUCCAUUCUUAGGUCAAUUCUUGUCAUAUUUGUUGAUUUUAGUUUUAUGUAUCCUUGUACCUUUCUGACUUGAUCCCCUGUGGGUUUAUGCAUGUUUGUCUUCCAGCCGACUUCGACAUCCCAACGGUAUUCCCCUUCACCUACUAUUGUAGAAUACACUUUAUAUUCAUUCAUUUGAGCUUACUGCUAUUGACAUUCAAUAAAUGUGGCCUGUAAUUGUAAAAUUAGCAAGAUCUAACCCAUCAAAGUAAAGGGGUCAGUUUAUUUUUGUCUAAAUUGGUGGGUUCUUAGUAUAUGAGGCCACUUGUAGAAAUUUUCUUCUGAACAAAUAGUCAAAUGAAACUCAAGAGCUUCAUUUACUAUUUAUUGCUCCUUUACUAUUGACUGUUGCUGAAAUGAGAGGUUCUGGUUCUUGCAGUUAUCUUAUUCUUGGGUGCUUGCGUGAAGCCCCCGCAUUUGUCAAUGGUUACUGAAUAUAUGGAGAUGGGAUCUCUGUAUUAUAUGAUACAUUUGAGUGGUCAGAAGAAGAGGCUUAGUUGGCGGAGGAGGCUAAAAAUGUUGUGUGAUAUAUGCAGGUAUAUUAGCCUAUCCUAACUUGUCGAAUUGUUUAAAGGUUGAGCACUUUCUCCUCUGUACUUUUAGAAUGCUUGUGGUAUUUACACCUGAAAUCCAUUUGUGAUCCCAUCUUGGAGGGAGUAUAUUUGAUUGUUUCAUUUUCAGUUACUAACUUAUAUCCACCCUCAUUUUAAGAUCUGAUAAUCUAUUUUUCAAUAUUUGAAGUGUCCUGUAAUAAUUUCCAGAUUUUGUGUUAAUGCUCGACUGAUAAGGAGAAUUUGAUGCUGGUUUUAUGUGUUGUCUAGCUCUCUACUCCUGAAUCUUGAGCUUCAUGGGUAGCGAGAAAGAACUCUGAAAUUUUGAUGUACAAUAGAGAUUUAAUAUUACCGUUAAUGUGCAAGAUAUUGGAACAUUGCCUUAGAAUAUAAGUGGGUGACAUCGCCUUGGAAUACAAGUAGGCAAGGUGAGGGAAAUCAAACAUGCAUCAUGAACACUUCUGGUCUUUUUUCUGUAUCGUGAAGUAAGUGAAACAUUGUCUUGAGAUAAUGUGCUUCAUAGAUUUCAUACGCAUUCGUAAUGGGAUAUCUCCUGGCAUAUUAAUUCUAAGUUGUAAAAUCCAAACUGAUCAUCUAUUCAGCAGUAUUCCUAGCUAUCAUGUGAAGCGCAUGUGCAAAUGCAAAUGACCAGUAGAUCAAAUUAUGAUAAUUUGGGAGGUUUAUUUAAAAGUCAGGGUUAUGCUGUUUACUGACUUGUAUUUUCUGCUAACAACCAGGGGAUUGAUGUGCAUACAUCGGAUGAAGAUAGUUCAUCGUGACCUUAAAAGUGCAAAUUGUCUUGUGAACAAACAUUCGACCGUUAAGAUAUGUGAUUUCGGGCUCUCCAGAAUAAUGACCGAGACACCUAUGAGAGACUCCUCAUCCGCAGGAACUCCAGAAUGGAUGGCCCCUGAACUUAUACGAAAUGAGCCCUUUACUGAAAAAUGUGAUAUUUUCAGUCUCGGGGUGAUAAUGUGGGAGCUCUGCACCCUGAAUAGACCAUGGGAAGGAGUGCCGCCAGAAAGGGUACACAUGAUUUUUUCCAUUUUGUAAUCAUAUGUUGUUCAUGCGUUAGUUAUUUGAGACAUCUUUUGAAAUGCAUGAAGUUUCAAACUCAUUUGGUUCUUUGCCGUUCAGGUAGUUUAUGCUGUUGCAAAUGAGGGAUCCCGUUUGGAGAUUCCUGAAGGGCCACUGGGCAGGUUAAUUUCAGGUAUUCAUGACAACUGAGAUUAAGAAUGAUUGUUAGAACUGGAUGCCUCUUUCAUUGUCUUGCAUCACGGCAUGUGGAUUGGUCCCUCUUUCCCAUGUUCUCAUUUUCCCUUCAUUUUUCUGUCCUUUAAACUACAUGCAUUAUUAAUAAAAGCUCAUUUUAGUCGGCUAUAAAUUAUUUCUACAAUUUUCUAUUUGUAACUGCUGACUUUUGUUGUCAUCUUGAUUUGGAGAUUGUUGGGCAGAACCACAUGAACGGCCAAGCUGUGAAGAGAUACUUUCCCGUUUGCUCGACUGCGAGUACACGCUCUGCUGAUAGUCUUUUUCUUUAUGUAUAGAAAAAACAUGGUAGAGGGUUUGCAAUGUGUUUCGGCUAAAUUGUAUACUGCUUGAUUUUCUGUAAUUGUGAAAACAUCAAACGCUUCAAUUUUCGAAUUUCAAUGGAACCACUGAAUCUUUCUGUGCAAAUGAAAAGGAAGGAAAUGCUUUUUGUCAAUUUUAACUGGUGGAACUUGCAUUUUUUUGUUUGGUUUCUUUCUAUUUGCAUGAAACUCGAAAAAAGAAUAAAUAGCUAAGCAUGAGUUCGGUCUUUCUCAAAGUUCAGCUCCCAACAAAUUUGAAAGCUUUCCGUUUUGCUUUUGAUGGUGAGCUUGUAUUUGACCAUUUACAUUCUUUAAUCGAGAAUAUGACUCCUAUUACAGCAUCUUCAAACCCCGGCUGCAUGAAUCUACUUGUAUUUCUUUGCUCAUCAUUCUCAGAUGCUGGAUACUGGAUAUUAGUCUUCUCCGAGCUGGACGUCCCGCAGGUUUAGGAUUCGGACAAGGAUCCGUAUAAAACGCACAUGCAUAUGACCUGUUUCAUGGAUAAAAUGUGAGACAUUCUGCGAGCAACCCAGGACCGGGAAGGGACAGAUUGCUUCCGCCGACUUCUGCGUCUUGUGGAGGCCAAUAACUAAGCUCACCGAGGCUUAAUAAAAGCCUCUCCCACAAGCUCAAAUCCAUUUGUCCAGAAGGGGAAAUUAAUGCCAAGCCUACGGUGUCGUUGCAAUCCAUCUUUGACAGCUGGGAUAUUGAACAAGGUAGCUCAACCCAAAUGCAGGCUAUGAUGGUUUGUGUUCAACCGUACCCAAAUCUCCUCUCAAUUAGGACUAAGUCUCCUUUUCCGAUACCGAGUGGGUUUCAGAGCUCGCAGAGUUGGUACAGCAUCACGAUCAUUGCAAGCAGAUAUUUCUCAACGAUACCUAAAGCAAGCACGUCAUUGUCAUCAUCCCCCUCAUUGUAAUCUUCUUACAACCUUCAACUUCAAACUUUUUUCCCAUCUACAACAUCCUUUUCUUUUUCUAUCAAACCCAAGUCCGUCAAAUCUGCAGACUUCUUGAUCGACAAUAACUAAAGCCCUGCACACAACGCAACCCCAUCAAGCUGCGACGGCCAUGCAAAUAUCAUGGAAUUAUUCUAACCUCAGUACUGCCCCCUUUGGACUUCCAACUCUUACAAACACGAAGAAUCAGCUCUUCAAGAAUGGAAGCCUGAGGAAAAAAAGAAUCCGCUGAACUCUUGCAUUCUCCACAGCAUACUCUUCAUCCUCAAGAUCAUUCCUCGUGUUCCCAACGACGACAUUAUCAACCAGAUGAAGAAUUGAUAAUUUGGGACAAUUGAGCAAUCUGGAGCAAUUUCUUGUCUUCAAUGAAUCCAACUAAAAGUUCGUGAGAUUUGCACAGGCAGUCAGUAAUUGCUUGAAUCUCGUAUGCCUUGAAUCUAUCAAUUUAUGAACCAAACUUGUGAAGGACAUGGAAAUAUCAAGAUAAGCAUGGGCGAGAGUGUUUGGUUGAAAUCAAAAACAUUAAUGUAACUGAAUUAAUUUAAAAUUUUGAUUUAAUUUUUUAUUCAUAUUGAUUUGGUUCGAUUUUUAAUUUUAAAAAUUUUGAUUACUUUUAGUUUGAUUCAAUGUAAUCAGAAAAAAAUUUAAAAAAUCAAACCAAAUUUAUUAAUGAUAACAUUAUAUCAUUUUCAAUAAUAUAGAUUAUAUUAAAAUUAAAAUAUUUUAAUUAAAUUUUAAAAUAUUAAAAUGUAAAAAGUAAAAAAUUUAUUAAAAAUUUAAAUCGAUUAAACCGAAAUUGAUUCAGUUCGAUUUGAUUUUUAUCAAAAUCAAUUUGAUUUAAUUUUUAUAAAUAUUAAAAUUUUAAUUUUUAAUUUAUUCAAUUUGAUUUAAAUCCGAUUGAAUGUCAACUCCAAAUAGCGUUGAGAUAUGGGGGACGACCCGGCAUAAGAAAUUUGAGAGGAGUAAGUCAGAAUAACGGAGCAAAAUCUGCUACCGUAUGAGGUGACUACGGCCAUUGAUGCCACUAGACGGGCCUCAAAUUGCCAAUUGCAGCAUAAUGUGCAUAGUAGCGGAGAUCGACCAUCAACGUAAGUAGAGGAAUCACAACGCCGAGGCAGUCCUCCAAGGACUGCGGUGAGGGAGCGAGCGAGCAAAGUAUGCCCCACUAGAAACUAGAGAAAGGUCAAAGUGAAUGGUACAAAAUAAGUCGAAAUCACUUGAAUGGCAGAAUUUAUUUAUAACACUGGAAUAACGUAAAAUGACAAUAAUGGUCCCACAAAAUUUGUUAUCUUCAUUCCAUCAUCCCAUGUAGUUGUCCUAUCCUAACCAUUCGACCAUAAGGGUCCAACUAUACAUGCAUUAGACCGUGAUAGAGGCGCGCGUGGCACUCUCAAUAGUUGAAACUUGCAGUUUUUCUUUUUCCUCAGAAGAAUUUGGAGUUAACUAAAGAAAGACUUUUCGACGAAAAACAAAAAAAAAAACUAAAGAAAGAAUUAUGUUUCGUAUGACGACGACAAGUGUAAAUAAAAAAGGUGAGCAGUGGCAAGGACGCACAAUAUUUUCUGUAAUCGAUUUAAAAAGACAAACAAAGAAAUAAAUCACUUUGUUCAAAUUACUGAAAAAUUUUCACCAGUUUUUUUAAUAAAUAAAUUGAUAAGACUAUAAGUCGAUAUGAAAUAAAUUUUUAGAAUCUGAAUGCAUAUGAGUUGGAAAAUCCAGAUCCAAGUGCUUGGUUUUGAGAAUACCACUCAACUCUAAAAAGCAUUCCAGAACAUUAGCGUGUUAAGGCAUUGGCACAAUGGUGAACAUAUCUUCCCAGGAGCAUGGAACAAAGAUACAUUUUGCCCUGUUAUCUGCGAGCAUAGCAUUCUUAUGGCCUUGAAACUUAAAAUCUGUCCCUCCUAUGCAUUUUUCACCUAAAGUUAACUGGAAAAUUUCUAUAAAAAGAAUUAUAGUGAUCAAAAGUAUGGAAAAUGAGAUAAUCAGUUAUCCAACCAGCUUUCAUUAUUUACAUGUUUAUCAACAAAACAAACAAACAAAAAUCAAAUACAAGACAAGAUGCAAGUUGAUUCAUGCUUUCUCAUGUCUCACUCGAUAGAGGCUAGCUUGUCCUCAUCCACUUCAAAAGCCUUCCUUGCUUGUUUCAGCUCCUCUUGCAUAGAUAGAAGUUCCGAACAUCGGUUAAGUUUUGGUAGGUCCUGCAAUGUUCAACAUAUCAACCAUUCUUAAGUACAAAGAAUGGAAGUUCGGACUACAAUUGCUAAUACACAUAUCUAAACCAACAAAAAACAUGGACUGGGCAAGAUAUAUGAGACAAAAGCUGCUAAAUGUCUAAGCAGUUCAAAUGCAUUAAUUGAAAGAAUAGGCUUAAAUCCGUUUCCAUCCACAGCACAGGCUUUAUCAGAUAUGUAACUGUAGCUAGCAUUAUGAUCCAUGGAAGUGUUACAAUUUAGCUAGCAUUCACAGAUUCUGCACGUUACAGUUAAAGCAUGGCUGCAACUUGCAAACACCCCAUUCCCACUCUCCAUCUCCUUUGACACAAAUGAAAAAGGCAAUGCAACUGAGUGAUAGUAUACUAAUAGACCAACUGUUAGCACGUACAGUCAAAACUUGCAUGGUAGUAUAUGGUAUUUAGGGGCAUAACAGGAAAAGAAUAAAUUAAAAUGCAGAGCAAAAUUUCCCACAAGGUGAAAUUACAAAUGAUGAAAUUUCAGUGGUCAUAAUACCUUGCGAAUUAAGUAGAGAAAAUCUUCAACUGCAAGCUUUCCCCUCUUUGAUCCUAUAUCUUGGGCUUUAUGUGCCUGCAGAAAGUUAGUAAACAGUUUUAACACCCACCAUAUCCUCUUGCUUAUGAUUCAUACCAACAUAGAAGAAUGCUUACCAAAUCUGUUACAUACUCCACGACGAUAUCCUCCACAAGUGCCACGGUUUCAGGAAGAGGCUGAUUAGGCAGUAAAAGCAAUUCACAAUUGUAUUGAAAGUAAAACAAAACAAUCUAACAUGCAGAAACUUGGCAACACUUAUACUGAGAUAUCUAAUGUAGAUAAUAAACGAAAUGGUUGUUUGAUUAUGACAAUACAACAAAAAAAAAAUUGCAUAACUAAAAGAAAGAGUUGAAUACAACGACAGCAGAAGAUUGGUAAUUUUAGCCAUACAUGAAAUGUUGUGCGUGUAUCCAGUUAACCAAUUAGAAUAACAUCUUAGAAAAUAGCAACCUUCCUUUUCUUAUUCCUUUCCUUUUGUCAAGGUUAGAGAUCAUCUGUUGUUUAAAAAAAUCCCCACUUUAAAAGCAGACAAACAUUUUCAAAGUGUUGUUAUCUGCUUUAGGGUUUAAAAGACUAAAUAUUACUGAAAAAACAAUUUUUAUUGCUCUCAGUUCAACAUAUUUGCUUCUCUUAGUAGCAACUCUAAUAGAAAUGUCAAACAACUCCAAGUGUAACGGGAACAAAACCUGUUAUAGUAAAAUAUGUUAUGUAAAUGGUGCUACUUACAUUAGGAUCGUCUCCAAAACCAUACAUCAUGUGCUGCACUGUAGCAUGACAAACAUGAAGAAAAAUUAAUAUAAAAACCAUGAUGAAAGUCGCACAGCAAAAGUUACUCGGCACUUACAGUCUUUCUGAAAGACUCCUCGCUUUCGCUUAAAUGAAGUUUCAUUAGGUUGUGAGGAUCCAACUUUAGAUUUCAAUGAAGGUCCAGCAGAUGAGCUGUUCAUCUUCUAUGUGUGCUUAUUUUCUCUUAAAUUAUCUGCAAAAGAAAUCAAUUUAUCUUCAGCAGUCAAUCAAAUGCUAUAUCCAAAUGACAAAAAAAAAAUUGGACACGAGCUUAAACCGAAAAAUGAAUCUAAAUCGAGGACGACCGUCUGAACAACAUAACAAUUAAAUGGAAUCCUAAUUUGGAAAAAUGGAGAAAGAAUUGUAUCAAACUGACAAAAAAAUUUUUGAAGCAAAUAAAGAUGAACAGGUCAAGAUCGAGAGUACAAGAGUGGAGAGUAAUGAUUACCACCCGCCGGUGGUGGCUAAUCGGNNNNNNNNNNNNNNNNNNNNNNNNNNNNNNNNNNNNNNNNNNNNNNNNNNNNNNNNNNNNNNNNNNNNNNNNNNNNNNNNNNNNNNNNNNNNNNNNNNNNNNNNNNNNNNNNNNNNNNNNNNNNNNNNNNNNNNNNNNNNNNNNNNNNNNNNNNNNNNNNNNNNNNNNNNNNNNNNNNNNNNNNNNNNNNNNNNNNNNNNNNNNNNNNNNNNNNNNNNNNNNNNNNNNNNNNNNNNNNNNNNNNNNNNNNNNNNNNNNNNNNNNNNNNNNNNNNNNNNNNNNNNNNNNNNNNNNNNNNNNNNNNNNNNNNNNNNNNNNNNNNNNNNNNNNNNNNNNNNNNNNNNNNNNNNNNNNNNNNNNNUUUUUUUUUUUUUUGAAAAAUUGAUCAUUAUGCCUGUAUUAUGGAAAGUUUAUUAGUUCUGUUUGAUGAAUAAAUUGAAACCUAUAAAAAUAAAAAAUCAUAAUUUUUGGAAUUUCGAAGAGGUGGGGUGGAGGUGGAGCAAAAGGAGAAUAUAGGUGUGAAUAUUGCAUUGGUAAUCAAUAUUUUGGUUGGCUGUAGUUCUCUUUCCUUUUGUUUUUUUUCUUUUUUGGUCUUUUAUUUGUGGUGCUUUGAAAAUCUGGAGGUUUCCAUGAUUCGCAUUAAACGAGACCUCUCAUCAACGAUAAAUGAUGCAGCAACUCAUAGUUAUGAGUUUAUAUAAAAGUUUUUUUUUUCUCUUCAUCGAGGGAUUUUCGUUGCAGGUCUUAGCUUGGGCGCAAUAAUUUUUCAAAGUUAAUUGGAGAAAUUUUUUUUCUCUUUUGGUACUAUUCAGUGCUGCCUCUGUAUUGCAUAUAUAUUAUAUGGAUGACUAUUUUUUUUUUGAAGGUUUGAAAGUUUGAUAGUUGUUUUCGUUCCCUGUGCUUCGACCAGUGUACAUGACUUUUAACCUUUGGUUAUAAUUUUUUAUUUUUACGAUGGAUACAGUCGGCCAUGCUAUGGGAGCUUUCGCAAAAGAGAGAGCGGCAGUUCUUGCUCUCUUGCUACCAAAUAAAAAAUAUGGGUUAAAUACUUUUUUGAGUCUUAGAGUUUGCUGUUCUUUGGGCUUGUUUUUUCUGCCUAUAAGACCUGUGAUUUAUAAUAGAACUUAAGUUUAGACCAUUUUUUUGUAUUAUGUAUUAUUUUUCAAACCUUAGUUCUUAGUGCAGAAGCUGAAUAUAGACCAAGUCUUAUUUUCUUUUAUCAUUAAUGAAUUUCAUUUCUUGAAUAAAAGAAAAAAAAAUCUGAGGGAGAACUAUCACGAAUGCGGAGUGCUAAGAAGUACCGAGAACUGUUGAGAAGUUCUCAUGGAUUCCGAGGAUCACAACCAUGAAAAGUGUUGAGAAGUCCUCGUGUACAUGAUGAGAAGCGUUGGAUUGGGUUAGAUUGAAUGAGUUUAUGCAAAGAGCGCGAUAUGGCAAACUCCAUUAGCAUGUAGUGGGAAUAGGGAUGACAAGGAUUAAUUAUAAUAAAGUUUAUAAUUCAUGAUAUAUUUGUGGAAGAGAAAACAAGGCCAAAUUUGAAAUUUUUUUGACAUCCUCCCCAGCUAAAAUAUGAAAGGAGGAAGUCGAAAUUUCACCCCCUUUCAAGAAAAUAUUCAGCUGAAACAUAUUUGAUGAGUUAAUAGAAAAAAAAUUUUUCAUAGAAAUUUUUUUUUCCUUUCCUUGCAGAGAGUUGGACCAUACAUUCAACAACUCGAAAGUGAUCAUCCUGAAUACCCGAUCUUUGAGUGCCCGUACUCUACCAUCCCUUUGUCUUUGAUACACAUAGCAGCAAUCCGAACACUCCCUGGAACAAAGAAAUAUCAUAUCCAAUAUCCAUUAGGAUGGUACAAUAACUUUCUGUUUAAUCCUGUCCUUGAACACCCAAAAUGCAGCAAGUUGCAUGCAGCCAUAAAGGAUUCUGCACUCGACCAUUUCAUUCGUGUUCACAUGCUGGUUUCAGAGACACCGUAAAGCAUUGAGACCCGGAAAAGUGAAAAUGGAAUUUCUUUAUUUUUCGUUAUACUCCCAAGUAAACUAUUCUACAAGAAGAGGAUCCACAAUGCAAGUUUGUUUAACAGUGUUGAGACCUGAAAAUGGUAUUUCAUUGUUUUUCCUUAUUCUCCCAAGUAAAUAUUCUACAACAAGACGCUUCACAAUGCCACAACUUUAAGCUAUUAUCGGUCAUAAAUAGUGACAGCGACAAUAGUUGAAAACAUAUAUAUUGAGAUGCAAGUAAAUUAAAUAGGAUUCAGACUUGAAACUUCUGGACUUGUGAGGAAACCAACAUAAUUCCUCAAACAUGACUCUGGGAUUUACAACAAAGCAAGGAAACCCACCUUAGGCAAGCAUGCCAAUGAUCUACAUUCUGUCCACCACAACUGUCAGGGAAAGCUUUAGGUACUGGAAGUCAGACCAACCACGUCCAGACAUCACUAUAGAUCACAACAUGGGGAGUUGGAAAUGCAAACAAAGAAAAAGCAAUGAAAUUCCAUUUUUAACAAACACCACGUAGAUAAUCAGGUCUCAUCCUUUCCCCUGAUGUGUAGCAAGGCAUAAUCUGCAUCACUGCAGAAAAAGGGAAAAAAAAUUUGUACAAUGAGCAAGCAUAUAAGCAUCAUAACAUCAAUAACAAUAAUGAGUUACAGAAAACUACCUCUACAUUCUCUGCCCCACCUACUUUGGCAGUGCCAUUGAUUUUCUGAGCAUCUUCUGUUGCAGAAAGAGUUGAGGGAAAUUAAAGAUCAAGCAGAUGAUAAUUGAGAUGAAAACUAAAUGCAAAGGUGAUUGGGAAAACAAUGAUCCAACAGAAUGUGAAAGUUCUAUGAAUUUGAUUACUCAUGCAUAGGUAAAUUAAUAAAAUUUAUUUCUAAGUUUGCUUCUCCAAGGAGAACUGAAAACCGGUAAAUAAUUUCAUAUUUCAGUCCUCAAAGUUACCCUCAGUUGCCUAUUUGAGUUUCCACACAUUCCUAGCUUUUAAAUCAACUCAAACACGGACAUAGAUAUAAAACCUACAAGCUCCCAAUGUCGCAAUGCAACAUUUAAUGCUCCACAAUAAUUCAAAGCUUCAUUUCAUAAUAAACUGAAGUGAUAUAUACAUAGCCAGCAAUUCUCUUCCUCCAGAUGCCACAUAUCAUGGUUUAUCUAUUUAUCAAUGGAACCAAGGCAAACAUCAUGUGCCUUAAACACAUACUCUCAAUGCAAAGUGUGAAUAGAACAUUUCACCUCAUUCUGAUGAAAAGAUGAUGCAAAUAACAUUAGCCACAUACAUGCAAAAUAGCAUAGAACUAAUGACUAAAGAAACAUCUAAAUAGCAUGAAUAAUCAUCAAGUAGAAAGUAAAGGAGAGGAAAACACGGUUAGACACAAAAAAUUAUAACUAUGCAACCAGGUGUUAAUAGCUUGAUUAACAUGUAGUGAUUAUGGCAAUUACCUGCAUCCUCUGGGAUCUCAGAAGUCCACAAGGUCAGGUUGUCCCUGAGAAGCUGCAUUAUUAAGGUGCUAUCCUUGUACGAUUCCUCAUUUAGAUUGUCGAGCUCUGAGAUUGCUUCAUCAAAAGCUUGCUUUGCAAGGUGGCAGGCCCUAAGGGGAUAAAUGAAUUUGAUAUCAUACGAGUUCACAAAAAAUUAUUUAUUGCAAGUUACUCUAAUAUAAGCUAGCUAUUUUCCAACACACCUUUCAGGUGAAUUCAAGAUCUCAUAAUAGAAUACUGAGAAAUUCAAUGCCAACCCCAAUCGUAUAGGAUUUGUAGGGGGCAAAUCAGACUCUGCAGCAGUAGUAGCUGUCUGCAAACCAAGGGGGAAAGAGUUGCUUAAACCAUUUGCUCUAUAACAAGUUGCUAUGAUAAUAAGGAGAAUAGAAGUGCAUAGAGGAAUAUGUUGUCUAACAGGAAUGGUACUGUAACUGAUGGAAUUCAAUUCAGAAUUUAACAAAACCACAAUUACUCUCUCUUCAUUCUCUCUCUUUCACUCCCCUUCUCUACAGUUGGUAUCAGAGCAUAACAAUCACUUAAUUCCAUCAGAUUGAUUACAUUUAAUCACAAUAUGAUUCCAUAAGACAAAAUUAGUAAGCUUUCUGAAUUCCAUCAGAUUAGAUAAUUGAAAAAGCCACAGCUACAACAAUCACUUUCUAAUCUUCACACUCCUCCAAUCAUUAAAUCUAUCUCGAAGCUUGCAUUCUAACAUCAAAAUUUUAUUUAAAGGAGCCAUGGAACUAUGAACAGUAGGAAGGAAGCUACAAUAAUGAAACAUAAGGAGCAAUAUACAACAAAAUCAAGUAAACCAAAUUGAUAGUCAAACUUCAAAGUCUGCAAUUGUCUAAAAUAUUCAAACAAGUAGAGAAGACACUUUUAGCUUUCAAUCAACCAACUGGCAACUCAAAGAAUAUGGUAACCAUGUUUAUCAAUAAAAUGAAAGUAUAUGGUGCAUCCCAGCCCAUGAUCUCUCUGUUAAGAGAAAUCUUAACCAAAAAAUUUCUUGAUGGCAUUAUAAUUUAUAUUCGGGGUUCACAGAUAGAUGGUGUUAACAAAAGCUUUUGUAUUAUCC
This 59743-nucleotide long non-coding RNA is filed under the name Manihot esculenta (cassava). RNAcentral describes it as "long non-coding RNA (MESC_LNC000837)". Lineage: Eukaryota; Viridiplantae; Streptophyta; Magnoliopsida; Malpighiales; Euphorbiaceae. The record is from RNAcentral.